CUUGGGAGGUUUACCAAUUGGGGUUGGUGGCUUGUGUUCUGGGAGUGGUUUCUCUCCCUUGGGAGGUUUAGUGGGUGACUUGUGUUCUGGAGGUGGCUUCUCCACCGAAGGCUUGUGCUCCGGUGGUGGCUUUUUGGUUGGAGGGGGCUUGGGGUAAUCAGCAAGAGAUGGGGUGGUGAGAACCACCAGUCCAAGGAACAACACUAGCAAGUAUGUGGGAGACAUUUUUGAGUUUGGGCUGAUCAGAUGAUGCAAAACUAAAGCAUUACGUGACCUUUUAUAGCAAGUAGCUCCCAAUACCUACUUGACACGUGUUACUGUGACCCAUAAAUAUUAUGGGGUCUAUUUGUGCCCUACCGGGUUGAAAACUUGGACAAUUGGGCAAGGACCCGCCUGACUAUGGAGGACUACUGAGGUGUGAUCACAGCUUUAGGAUUUUUCUUCCUCUGCAGCCGUCUUGCCGUUGGCAUGAUUUUCUUAAUCUCAAAUAAAGGCAUAGUUAUAGAGUUGUUUAAUCUCUAAAUGGGAUUUUAUAUAUCUUCAGAUAGCCAUUAAUACAUUUGAUGAAGAAAGAAAGACAAGUGCAUACAACAUGUAUACGACUAGCUUUCAUGGAGUUCAUUUAUGAUCAGUUUUCCUGUACAUGUAAACCAAGAUCAUAUAUGUUUUUGUUCCACAACAAUUUUGGAAUCUUGUUUAUCCGUUUUUAUCAUUAUAAUGUCACAUAGGCUGCCAACUUGGGCGCUAAAUUAAAGAUCCAGUUGGGCAAGUUCGUUUCAGAAUUUCAAUGGUGGAUUCAGGAAUUGUUUUAUAAGAUAUGCAAAAUAGUAGAGGGAUGAAUAGUGUUUCAUUAAGAAAAGAGCCCUGUAAAAAUAUUGUUUAAAGGUGCCAUAGAAACUAUAAUCAAUAAAUAACUUUUUUUCCCCAUGGGUGGUGUUUCUUGUGGGGAUCAGUGACUGGUUUGAGUCAACGCCGUGUCUCUUUAGUCCAGAAAUCAACUAUUUUAUGCAUUGAAUACAUCAACAAAGAAAAUAUGAAAGCCAAAUGACACCUCCCCCGCAAAAACUAAACCCUGGUUGCUAACUUUCUAUGUUUCAGUUCCAUUCACACAAGAAUAUUAGUUCAAGUUUGAGAAAAAUGGCGACUUACCUAGUGAUAACUCGGUCUUGGUUUGCGAUUUGACUUUAACGUCAUGGGUUGAAGCCUCCUACAAUCAUCGUGUAUGCUAGUUCAAAGCUCGUGGAAGAAGUUAUACAGGGAGGGAGAAACCUCCACAGCAAGCUCCAAAAGAGAAUUAUCACAUUGAAAGCUCCAGUUGAACACUGGGUGAAAGCCAUAACAAGAUUGGUUUUCUAUCGCUCUUUUAAGUAAUGGAAGAUUAUUAUCUCUGCUUGUCACUACAACCGUGCAUGCUGCUAGAUCUUUCUAGACACUUCAAACAGUGAAACCAAGUAUGAUUCUUUUUCUCUUGAGUGGGUCCACUUGCAUGCCAAUGAACGAGUUGAAAAGUUGGACAAUUGGCCACAGCGCGCACUUACCUUCUGGAACCGAAGGUCAGUGAAGUGGGGUUCCUUUUGGCCCCUUGUGUUUCUGUUCCAACCUACUCCAGGAACCGAAGUUCAGUGAAGUGGGGCUACUUUUGGCCUCUUGUGUUUCUGUUCCAACCAAACAAAAAUGGGAGGGAAAAAUAGCAUUAUGCUUGUGCUAAAGAUCAACGCAUGAUAGCUGAAUAAGGGAGAAAAAGGCAUUGCUAUCUCAAUUUCAUAAACUUGAUAAGUAGUGACAUUAAUAGUCUUCCUCAUAGAUGGAUACAUGGUUUUAUUUUAUUUAUUUAUUUUUAUUUUUUUGUUUUAUGUCAAUGCUAAUGAAUGAAGUGCAUUAGCUUGUUUUGUGACUAGAACUACAAAUGUCCAAAUUGGAGCUUCUCCAAUAUAUUUCUCAGUGAGUUAUUGAUUAGAACUCUUGGAUUGAGUUCCAAGAUUUGAAUCAGACCCCUCUAGCAGCUUCAGGGGUACGUAGCAACCUAUAGCAUAUUAAUGAAGACUUAGGAUUUAGACUUAGGAAUACAAAUUAAUAUGUACCUCAUGCUCUGACUAGCUUCCCUGCGUAUGCACAAAAUGGAGAUGACUCCCAAAAAAAUAGCAGAAUCGCCUUAGUAUGUUUUUGUGGUUAAGAUGAUUCUCCACUUUAUAUAUCCACAUUGGUUCAUUAUGCAAAUUAAUCAACUAAGCUAUUUUUAUUUUUUCUUAAAUGUGAAAUAGGAGCUCCAAAUUAACCUAACCAUUGGCCUGAUUGAAUUGAUUUCACUUGCAUAAUGUUAUAGUAGAAGUCCGUAAUUUGAAUUUUAUUUUUGCAAAAGGUAACGUAAAUGAAGCAUUGUAAUUAAAUUUAUUUGUAAUUACAAACUAAUUUUAUUUUAUUAAGAAUUAAUUUAAUUACUCAUUUAAAAUAAAAAUCAGUUAUACUUUUACCAAGAUGAUAAUAUUCAUAUUUUUCUAGUUAACAUAUAUAAAAUAGUACACUUUUUCAUAUAAAAAAAUAAUUUAUGAUUUAUUAUAAUGUUACUAUUCACAUUUUACUAAAUUGAUGGUACAUGAUAGUGAGAGAAGGGGGUGUCACACUCAGCUAAAGUUCUUUUCAAAAUAUUGCAUGGUGUUUAAUUUUAUGUGUCGGCGCGCGUGUGAAUGGAACCUGCAAAAGUCCAAAUUGGCGUUUCUCCAUUUUCCACAUAGGAUGGUGACGUUAAUAGACAAAGAUACAAUAUCUGUAGACAUUGCUUAAAAAUCGAUGUGAAGUAUUAGAAAUUACAGGGCACUGUACUGGGGGAGCGGCUGCCCCGCCAAAGGAGGAAGAAUGUAGCAAUUUCUUCUGUUAGCCAGGCCUUAGGAUUUAUGCAUGGGAUGCCUAAUAACAAACAGAGAAAAUAUACUUUUGGGGAAGGUAUCCAACAACAGACACCAUCAUUCAGAUGGUGGGAAGGUAUCCAACAGAUGCCAUCAUUCAGAUGGUAACAUAUAUAUACAUUUAUUAGUGAGUUUUUUUAAUACCUAUAAAAAAAAAUAUACACUUUGAUAUUGUGGCUGAAUCCAUUACAUACUCAACUAACCUUGCUCAUUAGGGAUUUGACUUAACAAGGGCAACGUUGCAGUACAAGCUCAAAACUUUAUGCAGGUGACAUUACAUUUGGUAAAGAAGAGGAAAAUAACGAAAGCCAUCCAUAAAAGCAAAAUUCCACAUGGGAUGAAAUUCACAAGCUUCAUUUACGAUAGAGUCGCAUCCAGGCAAUUAAUUCCACAUUAGACCGCCUGUUGACAUGUGUACCAAUCUUUUUUCAAAAAAUAUUUAUAAAUAAUUGAUACUCACAAAAAUAAUUUAAUAUUUAUAAAGGAUAAAAAAAUAUUUUCAAAUCUAUAACAAUUUAUAAAAUAUUAAUAAAAAAUUAUCUCUUAAACUUAGUAUAGUUUUAUCAGAUUAAACUUUUAUUUUGAACAAAUAAUUUUAAUCUAAGUUUUAAAUUCUAAAAUUAUUUCCUUAAAAUAAAAUUUUAAAAUUCAACACUUCAAUUGAAAUUGUCUUUUUAAAAAAUAUCUUCUUAUUUUAAUCCUUAUAAACUAUAGUUGAUUGAAAAUACUAUUGAAGUUCUCUCUUAAAAAAAAGUCUUAUUUUAAUCUUCAUAAAUUGCCCUUGAUUUGAAAAUAAAUUUUCAGUUAUCAUAUUUUAAAUAAUAUCUAUAUUUAAAAUACUCUAUUUAAAAAAAAAUGAACUAAUUUUAAUUAUAUUAUAUUUUAUUUUUUUAUAUAUUUUUAAUGAUAAACCAAACAUAGAAAAUCAUUUUUCUAAAUAUUUUAAAAUUUCUAAGCAACCAAACAUAAUCUUCAAAAUAAAAGGAAAAUAAGGAGGGACAUUUGAGAAAUGGCGAUUAAAAAAAAGUGUACAAAAGCUCAAUUAAUUUUCUUCUAGUCUUUUAUAUAAAAAAGUAAAGGAAUUGAAAAGUAUUGAUAUGUAAAUUAAUAUUUGGAUUUUAAUAGUAUUUUAUUUGUCUUUCUCUAUCUCAUGUAAAAGAGAAUUUAAGAUAUUUCCUAAAGCAAAGCAUUAGUUAUCUGCAAUCAGUGGUGAUCAUGCCCCAUGUCAAUUUCGGACCCAUAUCUUAAAACUGUAUAAUUUGCAUUCAAACAUUACUGAUUUCUCAGAUGUUUCAUACUCCACAGAAGAGCAUUGUUUGUGAAAGCAUGCAUUUAUGUUGGAUUUUGGAUGAUGUGGGAACUGGGGCAAGGAUCAUAUGGAAGAGUGGUCGAUUUUGUUCUGUACUUUAACAUUUGAAAUAGGAGAAGCUCGGGCAUUUGUGGGGCUUAAUUGAUUUUGAAGCCUGAAAUUGCGUUUCUGUCAUUUUGUAAAAAAUAUGGCAGAUUCCAUGCUCUCAUAUGUUUGGUCUGUGGCCAUGUAUAGAUGCCCCUUAGUGACCAGUUUGUAACUGUCAAUCAUAGUGUUUUGACUCUGGCUCAACAACAUCAGCCAUUGACGGAUUUUCAUACUUGCAAAUCAAAUAGUCUUCUUCCUCCCUUAGGAAUUUCGGUUUAAAUGUUAUUAAGCAUACAUUUGGCUGACAAUUAUUAACCACUUCAUGAUAUGGUUUCUUACCCUUAAUCAAUGGUUUCUAAGUGAAUAUAUGCAGAAGGAAAUCUGAACUGUAGACAGCAGUAUUGAUAACUCUCAAUAUUCUUUAUAUAAGAGAAUAAACAACGUCAUAGUGAUCGUCGCCUACAAGAAAGGUACAUUUCCCAACAAGAUGUAGUUGUGACUGGUACAUGGACGCAAUUAACUCGUACAAAAGAAUAAGACCAGUGCACGGCAGCUCUUAUUUUACAUGCUAAUUAUGCUAACCAAAGUCACUCAGUUGGGAUGGGAGGGAGAUGGAGGUUUGUGCGGUGGCUUGUGGGGCGGAGUUGGUGGCUUCUUUUCAGGAGCUUGUGGCUUUUUCGGAGCUGAAGGAGGCUCAAUCUUAUGAGGCGGCUUGUACGAGUCUUCUUUACUCUCGACAGGAGGGUGGCCAGGGUUGUGACCAUAAUGUGGUGGCUUCUCUCCCUUAGGUGGCUUGCCAACUGGGGUUGGUGGCUUGUGUUCAGGAAGUGGUUUCUCUCCCUUGGGAGGUUUACCAAUUGGGGUUGGUGGCUUGUGUUCUGGGAGUGGUUUCUCUCCCUUGGGAGGUUUAGUGGGUGACUUGUGUUCUGGAGGUGGCUUCUCCACCGGAGGCUUGUGCUCCGGUGGUGGCUUCUCCACCGGAGGCUUGUGCUCCGGUGGUGGCUUCUUGAUUGGAGGGGGCUUGGGGUAAUCAGCAAGAGAUGGGAUGGUGAGAACCACCACUCCAAGGAACAACACUAGCAAGUAUGUGGGAGACAUUUCUGAGUUUGAGCUGAUCAGAUGAUGCAAAACUAGAAGAAUUACGGGACCUUUUAUAGCAAGUAUCUCCCAAUACCCACAUGACACGUGUUACUAUGACCAUAAAUAUUAUAGGGUCCAUUUGUGCCCUACCGGGUUGAAAACUUGGACGCUUGGCCGAGGACACACCUGACUAUGGAGGACUAUUGACGUGUGAUCACAGCUUUUGGAUUUUUCUUCCUGUGCAGCUGUCUAGCGGUUGGCAUUAUUUUCUUAAUCUUAAAUAAAGGCAUAGUUAUAGAGUUGUUUAAUCUCUAAAUGGGAUUUUAUAUAUCUUCAGAUAGCCAUUAAUAUAUUUGAUGAAGAAAGACAAGUGCAUACAACAUGUAUACGGCUUGCUUCAAUCGAGUACAUUUAUGAUCAGUUUUCCUGUGCAAGUAAACCAGUUUUUUGUUCCACAACUAUUUUGGAAUCUUGUUUAUCAGUUUCUAUCAUUAUAAUGUCACAUAGGCUGCAAACUUGGGCACCCAAAGAUCUAGGUGGGCAAAUUUGUUUCAGACUUUCAAUGGUGGAUUCAGUAAUUGUUAAAAGGUGUUUCUUCAUUAAGGAAAGAGUCCGGUAAAAAUAUUGUUAAAAGGUGUCAUAGAAACUAUAAUAAAUAAAUAACUUCUUUUCCCCAUGGGUGGUGUUUCUUCUGGGGAUCAGUGACUGGUUAGGGUCACCCAAAAUGAGUCCAGAUUAAAAUUGGUUCGAGUCAAAGCAGUCUCUUUUGUCCAGAAAUCAACUAUUUUGCGCAUUGAAUGAAUCGAUAAAGAAAAAAUGAAAGCCAAAUCACACCUCCCCUGCAAAACCUAAACCCCGGUUGCUAACUUUCUAUGUUUCAGUCCUAUUCAUAUAGGAAUAUUGGUUCAAGUUUGAGAAAAAUGGCAACUUACCUAGGGUUUACUUGGUUUUGGUUUGCGACUAUUUACGCAACCAACCAUGAGUUUGACUUUAACGUCAUGGGUUGAAGCCUCCUACAAUCAUGUAUGAUAGUUCAAAGCUCGUGGAAGAAAUUAUACAGGAAGGAAGAAACCUCCAAAGCUAGCUCCAAAAGAGAAUUAUCACAUCGAUAGCUCCAGAGAUUCCCAAGGGAACUGAAUCAAAGACAAGUUCCUCACUUUUUCUUCUUUUGAGGCCAAAUAUGAACCAAGGAUCACACGACCUCAUUCAACUUCAUAAGUUUGAUUUCAUGCAGUUGAACACUGGGUGAAGGCCAUGACAAGAAUUGAUUAAAAAAUUCUACCACUCUUUUAAGUAAUGGAAGAUUAUUAUCUCUGAUUGGCACCACAACAGCACAUGCUGCUAGAUCUUUCUAGACACUCCAUGCAAUGAAAGCACAAUGGAUCUUGUAAUGAUAGAAACUAAGCCAUGCUACAGUACUAGAUGAGGGGGUAAAACUAGUAGACAUCUUUCUAGACACUCCAUGCAAUGAAAGCACAAUGGAUCUUGUAAUGAUAGAAACUAAGCCAUGCUACAGUACUAGAUGAGGUGGUAAAACUAGUAGACAUGGCUGGCAGUUGAUUACUACUCAAAAAGUACUCUUUUAUAGCUUGAAACUAACUGUUUUAAACACUUUUGAGUAGUAGUUAAUACCUUUUAACUUAAUUGGCACAUUAAGGAACCUAGCAAGGGUUACUAAUCAACAUUUGGCAAGUUUUGAUGUUUUUGGUAGCUAUUUGAUCAUUGAAACAAGCCAAGAAUGAGGGGGAAUUUUGUGAAGUCCAUGGCAAUGCAAGUUAAAGCUCAAAUACAUGAAGAAUCCAAGCUUUGGAGCACUUCAUAGCCCUUUGCCAAGCCAAUCAAAGAUGCAAGGAAGAAAACCAAAGGAAGAAAUCCAACAAUCAGCAUUUUGGCAUGGCUAUGUGAAAUUUCGCACACCAUGCGAAACCACAAGAGGCAGCCAAAGAAUUUCGCAUGGUAUGCGAAAUCUUCUUGUGCACUGACUCUGUUAGAUUUUUAUCUUCAGAUAUUUUGUGUAAUUUCCUAGUUUCUCCUUGUAACCAACUUAGAUAUUUUCUUUUAUAUCUUUUUUUAUAUUUUUUAGGUAACAUCAUAUAUAAGAGGAGAGACAUAAGGAGGAUAUGGAUGUUUUUCAUAGAACACUUGUAAAUUUUUGGUAGUAAGAAAUAUACAAAGCUUUUUGCUCUGCCUUACCUUCUCAAGGGAUGAGUGGCUAGGUUUUCUUGGAGUGAGGGAAGCUAGGUGAAGGACCUGAAUGCAAAGGUGGGAGUUUUCCUUACUUUAAAUGAAAGUAGUUGUUAAACAUUAAUGGUUUUUAUUUUAAGGUUUAGCUUUAAAUCCCUGAAAAACACCUUGAAUGGCCAAUACUUGGUAAGCUUUUUAGAUUCUAUGGAUGCUUAUUGCUAGAUCCAUGGAUGUCUAUUAGUUAUCAUUUACGAGCCAUUGGAAGGUGAUUCAAGGUGAGGGUCUUUAGUGUUUGAAGCCAUUAAUGGGAAGCAAUUACCAUUUUUUCAUGAAUCCUUUGGAUCAAAUCUUAAUUGCUAAAUAUAAAACCGGUUUCGAGAGAUAACCACCAUCCUUUAUGUUAUUAUCCCCAACGCGAGGAGAAGAUCCGAAAUCUUCCUUUUUAUCUAAGGAACCCGAUCCUAGUGACCUAAAGCUCCAAGAUACCUUUUCUUUGUAGUUAACUUCAUUUAUUGUUUUUGCUUAACUUAAAAUCAAUCUUUGCAACCACAAUUCCAUUUUCUUUAAAAGCUAAUUUUUAUAAGGAAAAACACCAUUUUAUUUCCUUCACUAAGUCAACUGUACGAUGAAAACCCAUCCCUGUGGACGAUCCUAGAGCCACUAUACUAUGUUAGCUAUGCUACCCUAGUGUGAGGUGAUUUAGGUUUUAUAAAUUUUUUUGAUAACACCCAUCUGAGCCAGAAUCAAAUGGCACGACUGAACCAGGGACGAAUCAAAUGACGCCGCUACCAAGGAUGGUGCCAAAGUACAUUGACAUGACUUUUGGUGAACACUUGUGAUCUUCACCACAAGUUUGGUGAUUUUUCUUUUACUAAUUUUUUUUAUUUUAGCUUAUCUUUUAUUUAGUUUUUAGUUAACCUUAAAUUUUUCCUAGAAUUGUAUUUCUUUUGUUUUCUUUGUUUUUGUUUCAGUGAUCUUUAGUUGUGCAUGCCCUAUUGGAUAAGAGAUAUUGAGGGAAUACUUGUGAAGAUUGAAACUCCUCGAGAAACUGAGUUAGAAGUGUGCUUGAACAUCAUGGAUGUUCCACCUGAAGACCAGAAUAGCCAACAUGGUUAAGAGGAUAAUUUCAACACAUACCGAUCCAUGAGGAACCGCAUACAUCCACCUUGUAUGAGUGCACCGUCAGGCAUAAUGCCUCCCACUGAGCAGCUAGUAAUCUGACCUCACAUUGUGCCACUCCUACCUACUUUCCAUGGGAUGGAGAGUGAGAAUCCCUACUCGCAUAUUAAGGAAUUCGAGGAGGUUUGUAAUACAUUCCAAGAAGGAGGAGCUUCAAUUGACUUGAUGAGGCUCAAGCUAUUUCCUUUCACUUUGAAGGAUAAGGCCAAGAUUUGGCUUAAUUCUUUAAGGCCAAGAAGUAUCCAAACUUGGAUUGAUUUGUAAGCCGAGUUUCUUAAGAAGUUCUUCCCUACCCAUAGGACCAAUGGUUUGAAAAGGCAAAAUUUGAACUUCUCAGUUAAAGAGAAUGAGAAAUUCUAUGAGUGUUGGGAGAGCUACAUGGAAGCUAUUAACGUUUGUCCUCACCAUGGCUUUGACACAUGGCUCUUAGUGAGCUAUUUUUACAAUGGUAUGUCUUCUUCAAUGAAGCAACUCCUAGAAACUAUGUGUGGAGGAGACUUCAUGAGUAAGAAUCCGGAGGAAGCCAUGGACUUUUUGAGUUAUGUGGCUGAAGUUUCAAGAGGAUGGGAUGAACCAAAUGCUAGAGAGGUGGGAAGAAUGAAGUCUCAACCUAAUGCUAAGGGUGAGAUGUAUGUUUUGAAUGAAGACAUUGACAUGAAAGCAAAGGUUGCAGCUAUGGCAAGGAGAUUGGAAGAGCUAGAAAUGAAGAACAUACAAAAAGUGCAAGCCAUUUCUGAGACAUCAAUGAAAGCUAUGCCUUGUUCCAUUUGUCAAUCUUAUAAGCACCUAGUGGAGGAGUGUCCUACAAUUCCAGCAGUGAGAGAGAUGUUUGGUGAUCAAGCAAAUGUUAUUGAUCAAUUCAAGCCUAAUAACAAUGCUUCAUAUGGCAACACCUACAAUUCAAAUUGGAGGAACCAUUCAAAUUUCUCUUGGAAACGAAAGCCACCUCAAUACACACAACCUACUCAAGCACCUUAGCAAUCCUCGAAUCUUGAACAAGCUAUUGUGAACCUUAGCAAGGUUGUGGGAGACUUUGUGGGAGAUCAGAAGUCCAUCAAUGCUCAACUGAAUCGGAGAAUUGACAGUGUGGAGAGUACAUUGAACAAAAGGAUGGAUGAGAUGUAAAAUGAUCUGUCUCAAAAGAUAGACAAUGUCCAAUACGUAAUCUCAAGGCUUACCAACCUCAACACAGUGUAAGAGAAAGGAAAGUUUCCUUCUCAACCUCAUCAAAAUCCUAAGGGUAUCCAUGAAGUAGAGGCUCAAGAGGGAGAAUCUUCAAAGGUGAGGGAAGUCAAAGUAGUUAUCACCUUGAAGAGUGGUAAAGAGGUUGAUCAACCCACAUCCAAGCCAAAGCAUAAUGAAGAGAGUGUAGCAGAAAAAGAAAAGAGAGGAAAAUAAAGGAAUUAGAAUAGAGAAAAAUACAAAGAAAGAUGACCAUGAGUCUAGUGUGGAUGAAGAGCCCGAGAGGAUGGUGAUCAAGGAAGAUAUGAUGAAGAAACACAUGCCUCCACCUUUCCCCUAAGCUUUGCAUGACAAAAAAAGAACCAAUAAUACAUCAGAAAAUUUUGAAGUAUUGAGGCAAGUGAAGGUCAAUAUCCCUUUGCUAGACAUGAUCAAACAAGUGUCGACAUAUGAAAAAUUCUUGAAGGACUUGUGCACUGUAAAGAGAGGGUUGAAUGUGAACAAGAAAGCUUUAUUGACCGAGCAAGUGAGUUCCAUCAUACAGUGCAAGUCCUAGUGAAGUACAAAGAUCCGGGUUGCCGUACCAUCUCAGUGAGUAUUGGAAGGACUUGUGUGGAGAAAGCUUUGUUGGACUUGGGAGCAAGUGUGAAUUUGCUAUCCUACUCUGUCUAUAAGCAGUUGGGAUUUGGAGAGUUGAAGCCAAUAUCCAUCACUCUAUCUCUAGCGGAUAGAUCAAUGAAGAUUCCAAGAGGGAUGAUCGAAGAUGUCCUGGUUCAAGUUAACAAAUUCUACUAUCCAGUAGAUUUUGUUGUUCUUGAUAUGGAUCCGGUUGUCAAAUGAACUAAUUAUGUUCCUAUCAUACUUGGAAGACCCUUCCUAGCUACAUCAAAUGCAAUCAUCAAUUGUAGGAAUGGAGUCAUGCAACUCACAUUUGUCAACAUGACAUUAGAGCUCAACAUCUUCCAUUUGUACAAGAAGCAUAUCCAUCAGGAGGAAAAAGAAGGUCUAGAGGAAGUGUGAAUGAUUGACACUUUAGUGGAAGAGCAUUGUGAUCGAGAAUGCAAAAAGAUUUAGUUGAGAAUUUUGGGGAUCUUGAUGAAAGGUUACUUGAACCCUCAGAUUUGCUUGCUACCCUACUCCAUUGGAAGAGAAGAGAAGAAAUUCUACCCUUAUUCAAUGAGGAGGAGACGCAAAGAGCUGCAAAGGAGAAACCCCCAAAACUUAUUCUUAAGCCACUACCCACAGAGUUGAAGUAUGUAUACUUGGAAGAAGACAAGAAGUGCCCUAUUGUUAUAUCUUCAACUCUUACCAUUCAUCAGGAGGAUUGUCUACUUGAAGUCCUUAGAAGAUGUAAGAAGACAAUAAGGUGGCUAAUUUCUUAUUUGAAAGGGAUCAGCCCUUUAGUCUGCACCCAUCAUAUUUACAUGGAGGAUGAAGCUAAGCUAAUUCAUCAACCUCAGAGAAGGUUGAACCCUCACAUGCAAGAGGUGGUUCGAGCUGAAGUUCUGAAGCUACUUCAGACCAGUAUUAUUUACCCCAUAUCAAAUAGCCCAUGGGUGAGUCCUACUCAAGUUGCGCCAAAGAAGUCUGGGAUCAUGGUGGUGCAAAAUGAUAAGGGAGAAGAUGUCUCUACACGCCUCACUACAGGUUGGAGGGUGUGUAUCAAUUACAGGAGGUUGAAUGCAGUGAUAAGAAAGGACCAUUUCUCAUUGCCCUUUAUUGAUCAGGUGCUUGAGAGGGUCUCUGGGCUUUUUUUUUUAUUGUUUCUUGGAUGGCUACUCCGGGUACUUUCAGAUAGAAAUUGAUGUUGAAAACCAAGAUAAGACCAUUUUCACAUGCCCAUUUGGAACCUAUGCAUAAAGGAGAAUGCCUUUCGGCUUAUGCAAUGCACCCGCAACUUUCCAAAGAUGCAUGUUAAGCAUUUUCAGUGAUAUGGUGGAGCGUAUUAUGGAAGUCUUUAUGGAUGAUAUCACCAUUUAUGGAAGUGCAUUUGAUGAAUGCUUGGUCAACUUAGAAGCUGUUCUGAACCGAUACAUUGAGAAAGACUUAGUGCUUAACUGGGAGAAGUGCCAUUUCAUGGUACACCAAGGGAUUGUCCUUGGGCACAUUAUCUCCAAGCAAGGCAUUGAAGUUGACAAAGCAAAGGUUGAACUCAUUGUUAAGUUGCCAUCCUCAACAAAUGUCAAAGGAGUAAGGCAAUUCUUUGGCCAUGUCGGGUUCUAUAGGAGGUUUAUCAAGGAUUUCUCUAAGCUUGCAAGGCCUCUUUGUGAAAUAUUGGUGAAUGAUGUUAAAUUCAUAUGGGAUGAUGGAUUUGAAAGGAGUUUUGAAGAAUUGAAGCUAUUUUUGACAACCGUACCAAUAGUGAGGGCUCCCAACUGGCAACUGCCCUUUGAAGUAAUGUGUGAUGUCAAUGAUUUUGCUAUAGGAUUUUUUCUUGGGCAAAGAGAAAAUGGAAAACCUUAUGUGAUCUACUAUGCGAGGAAGGCAUUGAAUGAGGCACAAAGAAACUACACAACCACCGAGAAAGAAUUGUUAGCUGUAGUUUUUGCCUUGGAUAAGUUUCGCGCUUACUUGGUGGGGUCCUUCAUCAUGGUUUUUACUGAUCACUUUGCUUUGAAGUAUCUGUUGACUAAGCAAGAUGCUAAAGCAAGGCUGAUUAGAUGGAUUCUCUUACUUCAAGAGUUCAAUCUCCAUAUCAAAGAUAAGAAAGGAGUGGAGAAUGUGGUAGCAGACCACAUUUCAAGGCUAGCUAUCGCACAUAAUUCCCAUGCUUUGCCCAUUAAUGACGAUUUUCUAGAGGGGUCUCUCAUGUUGGUGGAAGUUGUCCCUUGGUACGCUCACAUUGCUAACUACCUGGUCACGGGAAAAGUUCCAAGUGAGUGGAAAGCACAAGAUAAGAAGCACUUCUUUGCAAAAAUUCAUGCCUACUAUUGGGAAGAGCCAUUUCUAUUCAAGUAUUGUAUGGAUCAGAUAAUAAGGAAGUGCGUUCCUGAAGAAGAGCAACAGGGGAUCCUUAGUCAUUACCAUGAAAAUGCAUGUGGAGGCCACUUUGCUUAUCAAAAGACAGCCAUGAGGGUGUUGCAAUCGGGUUUCUGUUGGCCAUCACUUUUCAAAGAUGCCCACACCAUGUGCAAGAGUUGUGAUCGAUGCCAGAGGCUUGGGAAGUUGACACGCAGGAACAUGAUGCCUUUGAACCCCACUUUAAUAGUUGAUAUUUUUUAUGUUUGGGGCACUAACUUCAUGGGACCUUUCCCUAUGUCUUUUGGCUACUCUUACAUCUUGGUAGGAGUAGAUUAUGUUUCUAAGUGGGUUGAGGCAGUCCCAUGCAAACACAAUGACCAUAGAGUGGUUCUCAAGUUUCUUAAAGAGAAUAUCUUCUCAAGAUUUGGGGUGCCCAAAGCCAUAAUUAGUGAUGGGGGUACUCAUUUUUGCAACAAGCCUUUUGAAACUCUCCUAGCCAAGUAUGGGGUGAAGCAUAAGGUAGCUACACCUUACCACCCUCAAACUCAUGGACAAGUUGAGUUAGCAAACAGGGAGAUUAAAAACAUAUUGAUGAAGGUGGUGAACACAAACAGAAAAGAUUGGUCAGUCAAGCUUCUUAAUUCACUAUGGGCAUAUAGAACAACUUACAAGACCAUUCUCGGGAUGUCUCCUUAUCGCCUAGUUUAUGGCAAAGCAUGCCAUCUCCCUGUGGAAUUGGAAUACAAAGCUUGGUGGGCAAUCAAGAAGCUCAACAUGGAUUUGAGCAGAGCUGGGUUGAAGAGGUUCUUAGACCUUAAUGAGAUGGAGAAAUUGAGAAAUGAUGCCUACAUCAAUUCAAAAAUUGCAAAAGAAAAAUUGAAGAGGUGGCAUGAUCAGUUGAUUUCCCGCAAGGAUUUUCAAAAUGGACAAAGAGUCUUACUUUAUGACUCUAAACUCCACAUCUUUCCGGGCAAGCUGAAAUCAAGGUGGAUAGGUCAUUUUACCAUUCACCAAGUGCAUUCAAAUGGAGUAGUGGAACUACUCAACUCCAACAAUAUCGAGAACUUCAAAGUGAAUGGCCACCGUCUCAAGCCCUUUGUGGAGUCUUUUUCUCACAACAAGGAGAAAUUCAUCCUCCUUGAUCCACAUCAAGCUUAACAAGACCAAUUUUCUUGAUGGACUUAGUCUUUCUAAAGACUAUCGAGUCCAUAACUUUUUGUUUUAUUUUUUAUUUGAGAUUUUUUCGGUAUUGUUACUUGUUUUGUUUUUUAUUUUUCGUUUUAAUUUUAUUUGGUUUGAUUUAACUUAGGUUUUUGAUGAUCAAUUACAGGGGGGAUUUCAAAUAGAGGAAAAACCAAGAUAAUUCGCACACCCUACGAAAAUUUCGCAAGGCAUGCGAAAUUUAUGGCUUAUUUUGCAUGGGGUGAAAAUUUUCGUACAUCUUACGAACCAAUUUCGAACACUUUGCGAAAAUAAACCAACCCUGCGAAAUCAUUUCGAUUACUCUACGAAAUUUUCGUAGAGCAUGCGAAAAAUUUAGCACACCAAACACCAUUUCGCAUACUAUGCAAAAACCUAAGGGGUCUGCGAAACCAUUUCGCACCUCCAAAUCCAUUUCGCACAUUGUGCGAAAACCAAGAGGCGCUGUGCGAAAAUGAAAAGUCGCCCUGUCAUCCCUUUUUAAACCCCUCGAGCCCUAAAAUCUCCAUUUCGCAAGCACCCCUGUCCUUGCGAAUCCCUCAUUUUCCUCUACUACCUUGCAACCUCGUCCCUUUCCAUUUGAUAUUGUGCCCCGCGCACAUCUCAUUUCAGAGACUCGCACUCCGCGCCCCCUCAAAGCAUGGACUCGAGACCCACCUUCCAUUUCCGACGUGGCACGGACCCAAGGAGCCCUUUCUGCCCCUUCACUAAGACACACACCAAGGCAGAAAGCCUCCUUUGCUCAAGUGCCUAGUGAUUCUCCAUCUUAGGCCUCAGAGGCCUCGGAGGCCCCGUGGAUUCCACCUUCCGAGGGUAGAGCAGCCAUUGGUCCUUCCUCUUCUACUCCUUAGCGUAGAUACGAGACGAGGAGACCACCUACUACACAAGGGGCGACUACUUCGAGCCUUGAGAAUUCAGUACGAUGCCUUCCUGCCAAGAGGGUCAAGACUUCAGGUCCAAGUGAGUCAUCCAGAGCUUCAUAGCCUAAGCCUCCUGUAGAUUCCAAGGUUCCUACUGACAUAUCACCGGAGUCUAUUAUCAGAAGCCCGAUGCUCAUAGCACCGCCCAUUGAGGGCAACUCAGAUUAUAGAGCGAGAUCUUUCCACUUGGAGCUAUAUUUUGAUCAGGAGGCCAUACGACAGCAGCCUGAGCUCCGAGACUCUUAUGGCUUACUGCAGAGGUACCAUCUUGAGGAACUUAUGACUCCUCGUGAGUUUUUUUAUCCCAGAGUAGCACUAAACUUUUACCAGUCCAUGACUACUCGUGGCGUCCCGAGUCCUACCACGAUUCACUUCACCAUUGAUAGACGUCAUGGUAUCCUCAAGGCCAGACAUAUUACAGAGGCUCUACAAAUUCCUUUCGAGCUAGAGGAUCCAUCUGUUUUUCGCUAAUGGUCCCCAGUAUCUCAGAGGGACAUGGUCCGUAUUUUAUCUAGGGGAACAUCUACAGAUUCGAUCUUUCUACGGAAGGAGCUUCGACCUGGGAUGCUCCUCUUAGAUGUGGUGCUAUGCUCCAACCUCUUUCCCUUACAACAUUCGGUACAUAGGUGAUGAGCUAUUUUGGACGCUUUAUUCCGUAUAUCAGAGGGCUUCUACUUUGGCCCGCACCACUUGAUCAUGGUCUCCCUCAUCCACUUUGAGGAGAAGGUUCAUAGGAAGAAGCUUCAGAGGGUGGACACCAUUCCAUUACUAUUCCUGAGGUUACUUUGCCAGGUCUUGGAGUACAUGGGCUUUCCUACUGAGCCUCGGCUCGAGCUUUGCCGCCUUUGUCGAGAGUGAUCCACUCUCGACAAAUGGAAUUAGUUGGCGGGCUAUUCUGCACCUCCAGGAGCCCCUCCCAUGGUAGCACCUCCAAUGUCCCCACAGGCAAAGUAGGGCGAGCUCCCGGCAAAGACUGUACCACCAAUGCCCACACUUGAGGCUAUUUCUGCUGCUCUGCCUAUGACUCCUACUGUUCCACCAGUUGGUCCUUUUACAUCCGAGCCUUCCAUCACCAUCUCGGCUUCGGAGUUUCGCGCCCUUGUGCAUACCUUUCAGACACUCACCACCACACAUACUCCUCUCUUCUAGCAAAUGGUUGAGAUGUGUGCCCAUCAGGACCGGAAGACUACUAUACUCUGCCAAAUUCAGCAGCACCUAAGACUUUUGCCUCAACCUCAACCUAACCAUCCCAUAUCAUCAGAGCCUCUAGCUCCAACUGAGGAUACUAUUCCACCUGAGAACACUACCACAGUAGAGGUCCGGUUUCCACCACCUUAAGAGGCCACCACAGCUACAUCAGAGGAUGUGUCAUCUCCACUUGAGGCUCCCACUACUUGAUCAUAGGACAUAUCUUUAUCUUAUUGUAUUUACAUAUUAUAUUACUAGAGAUUUGUCCUUGUUUUGAUACUUUAUAUUCUGGGAUUGGAUGUAUUGCCUGAUGAUAUCUCAAUUGUACUUUCUCAUAUUAAUAUAUAGACAUCAAUUUUUUUUAGUAUACUUAGCAUUUUUCUAUUUCCUCUACUCAUUACUCUUUUGUUUUUUUUUACUCAUGUGGUUUCUCUUAUACAACUCAGACUCCAUUUCACUCAGGAGGUACCACUUCCUCCCUUUAUUUUCAAUUGCUCUUGAAAUAUUGAGUGCAAUGUUGAUCUUGGUUGGGGGGAGAGUUGAGGAAGGAAGUUUUGUUAAUAAUGCUAGGUUAAUUUGUUAAUUUAGUUACUUUCUGCUUAAUUUUAAAAGUUUUCACUCUACUUUCCAUGGUUAUUAAGGAAAAAUUCUCAAAAUGAAAUGGGAGAAAUCGAAUUCUUGCAUUUUUACUUGAAUCUUAGAAUUUGUAUCAUGCUUAUUAAAGUUGAUGAAUUAUUGAAACUCCUAUUGAAUUCAACCUUAUUUUUUCCACUUUAAUCUUACCACACACGGUGCACAUUAGGUUCCAGUUAUAAGAUAAAAAACUAUCUCACCCCCUAAACUUAGAAAAAUUUACACUUGGUACCUUUGACAUCGUUUUAAUAGUGUUGGGACACCUUAUAAAAGGCCAAUGAGCCUUUAAAAAAAAAAAAAAAAAAAAAAAGAGAAAGAACAAAGUAUUGCACUUGCCUUGAAACCUGAGCAAGAUCCGAGGGGUAUACAGUGAAAGUCUUUAAAACCUGGUGCCCUAAGCCUUGAUUGGUUGGGAGUCACCGACCUCAAUGCUCGUUAUAAGGGUGAAUAGGUGGAGUUUAACAUAUUGUAGGUGCUUGGGUAUUGAAUUUCAAUCUCAAAAGUCCGGGAAAAAAUCUAAGGAGUUAGUGGUCAAAAGAUCCUUAAAGCUUGAUGCCCUAAACCUUGAUUGGUUGAGAGUCAUUGAUGGAUCCCCGCUACAUGGACAUUUUAGAAAACAAUACCUUUAGCAUUGCACGCCUACAAUGAAAAAAAAAUGUGAAAUAAAAGAGGUGCGUUCUUAGCCUAUUGGAGGUUGGUCAGUUUGCUAAAGUUUGAGAAAUCUAGGUUGGGGGGAGAGAAUAGUCCGACAUACUAUAAUAAAAAACUAAUAACCUUAACACUUAGAUUUUUGUGGAAGAGUAAGGAUUGGACCUUUAGGGGUGGAAAUUCUUUUGAUGCUUAAAUUUGCAUAAUGCCUACUCUUUAUAAAUUAUGAUUAGGCAAGAGAUUUGAUGACUCUUGUUCAAAGUUGGGUUUUUCCUCUUUGAUGUUCCAUGAGAGAGUAUAAUCCUCAUCAUGCCACUUGAAAUCUUUUUGGAGUGAUUAACAUGAUUUUGUAAAUUAUUUUACUGUCUAUUUUUCUUUAUCUCUCUUUUAUUGCUAAUGGACUAGCAAUAUGUCAGUUGGGGGGAGUGAUUACUACUCAAAAAGUACUCUUUUAUAGCUUGAAACUAACUGUUUUAAACACUUUUGAGUAGGUGUUAAUACAUUUUAACUCAAUUGGCACAUUAAGGAACCUAACAAGGGUUACUAAUAAGUUUUUGGCAAGUUUUGGUGUUUUUGGUAGCUAUUUGAUCAUUGAAACAAGCCAAGAAUGAGGGAGAAUUUUGUGAAGUCCAUAGCAAUGCAAGUUAAAGCUCAAAUACAUGAAGAAUCCAAGCUUUGAAGCACUUCAUAGCCCUUUGCGAAGCCAAUCAGAGAUGCAAGGAAGAAAACCAGAGGAAAAAAUCCAACAACCAGCAUUUUCGCAUGGCUGUGCGAAAUUUUGCACACCAUGCGAAACCACAAGAAGUAGCCAAAGAAUUUUGCACACCAUGCGAAAUUUCGCAUGGUAUACGAAAUCUUCCUAUGCACCAACUCCGUUAUAUUUUUAUCUUCAGAUAUUUUGUGUAAUUUCCUAGUUUCUCCUUGUAACCAACCUAGAUAUUUUCUUUUAUAUCUUUUUUUUAUAUUUUUUAGGUAACAUCAUAUAUAGGGGGAGAGACAUAAGGAGGAUAUGGAUGUUUUUCAUAAAACACUUUUAAUUUUCUGGUAGUAAGAAAUAUACAAAGUUUUUUGCUCUGCCUUACCUUCUCAUUUUGUUUUCACCUAUCUUUCUAGCCAAACAACCUCUGAGAAUGAUUUCUCAGGGGAUGAGUAGUUAGGUUUUACGUUUCUUGGAGUGAGAGAAGCUAGGUGAAAGACCCAAAUGCUAAGGUGGGAGUUGUCCUUGCUUUAAAUGAAAGUAGUUGUUAAAUAUUAAUGGUUUUUAUUUUAAGGUUUAGCUUUAAAUCCCUUAAAAACACCUUGAAUGGCCAAUACUUGGUAAGCUUUUCGGAUUCUAUGGAUGCUUAUUGCUAGAUCCAUGGAUGUCAUUAGUUAUCAUUUAUGAGCCAUUGGAAGGUGGUUCAAGAUGAGAGUCUUUAGUGUUUGAAGCCAUUAAUGGGAAACAAUUACCAUUUUUUCAUGAAUCCUUUGGAUAAAAUCUUAAUUGCUAAAUAUAAAACUGGUUCGGGAGAUAACCAUCCUUUAUGUUAUUAUGCCCAAUGCAAGGAGAAGAUUUCGAAUCUUCUCAUUUGUCUAAGGAACCCGAUCCUAGUGACCUAAAGCUCCUAGAGACCUUUUCUUUGUAGUUAACUUCAUUUAUUGUUUUUGCUUAACUUAAAAUCAAUCUUUGCAACCACAAUUCCAUUUUCUUUAAAAGCUAAUUUUUAUAAGGAAAAGCACCAUUUUAUUUCCUUCACUAAGUCAACUGUAUGAUGAAAACCCAUCCCUGUGGACGAUCUUAGAGCCACUAUACUAUGUUAUCUAUGCUAUCCUAGUGUGAGGUGAUUUAGGUUUUAUAAAUUUUGUUGAUAACACCCGUCUGAGCCAGAAUCAAAUGGAACCACUGAACCAGGGACAAAUCAACAGCCUAUAUGGGAGGGACACAAGUUUAAUUGAUUUGCAUUUCAGCGUUAUAGAUAAGUAUGUUUUGGAAGAUUUGUUCUGGAAAUACUGCACCAAGUACGAUUCUUUUUCUCUUGAGUGAGUCCAUUUGCAUGCCAAUUAACGAGUUGAAAAGUAGGAGCACCUACCUCGUGCUCAUGGAACCGAAUGUCAGUGAAGUGGGGCUCCUUUUAGCCUCUUGUGUUUCUGUUCCAACCAAGGCGGCGUAGGGAAAAACAACAAUAUGUCUGUGCUAAAUAUCAACGCAUGAUAGAUGUUUUUUUUUUUUUUUUUGGUAUGUCAAGGCUAACGAAUGAAAUGCAUUAGCUUGUUUUGUGACUAUAACUGCAAAUGUCCAAAUUGGAGUAUCUCCAUUUCUCACUUCGGAUGGUUAACUUUAUAAACAAGAUAUAGGAAACAUGUGAACAUCUUGAGGAACAAUUCAAAUUAUUCAUUAGAAGUCCUGGGUUAAGUUCCAAGAUUUAAAUCAGACCCUUCUAGCAGCUUCAAGGGUACUUAGCAACCUAUAACAUAUUAAUGAAGAUUUAGGAUUUAGACUCCGGAAUACAAAUAAAUAUGUAUCUCAUGCUUUGACUAGCUUCCCUACAUAUGCAUAAAAUGGAGAUGACCCAAAAAAAAUAGCAGAAUCUAGCUUCCCUACAUAUGCACAAAAUGGAGAUGACCCAAAAAAUAGCAUAAUCGCCUUAGUUUCUGUGGUUAAGGUGAUUCUCCGCUUAAUAUCCACAUUGACUCAUUAUGCAAAAUCAACUGAGCUAAUUUUAUUUAUUUAUUUAAUGUCAAAUAGGAACUCCUAAUUAACUGAUUACUGUCGAAAAGUGCUAUUUUGUAGACCUAAUUAUAAGGGUUUUAAGCACCUUUGAGUAGUAAUCAUAUUCAUUUAACCUAAUUAAUUCAUUAAGCUCCUUAGUAAUUAGUUCUAACCAUUUUUAGUGGCAAGUUUACAUGUUUUUCAUCAGCUUAUGAACCAAUUCAAGCAUGCCAAUUGAUGGAGGAGCUACUUGGGCGAGUUAAGCAAGGAUUUUGGACGUUUACAGGCUUGAAUUUCAAGUGGAAACACGAGCACAAGCAAUGGGAACACCAUUUCGCAAGGGGAGGCAAUUCACCUUGCCAAAUGACCAAUUUCGCAAGGGGAUUUUCCUCAUGGUGCAAAAUUUGGUCAUUUCGCACCAUGAAGAAACCACCUUGCAAAAUUUCGCAAGGUGGAUUUAGGCACCUUGCGAAAUGCCAAAUUUCACAAGGUGGCUUUUCACCUUGCGAAAUUUGGACCUUUCAUCUUCCCCCCUUGCGAAAUGCCUUUGAAAUCCCCUGUUUUGAGACGCUGUUGAUGAUAUUCCACUGCCGGUUCUCCAAGAUAUUUUGCUUGACUUUUAGCUUUAUAAAUACCUAUUUUACCCUUGUAAUCAACCAAUGAAAAGGUUGCUUUUGUAAUAGCUCUUGUAAUUUAGCUUUUUAUUGUCUUUAAAUAGAGGUGAAGAGCCUCAGACACGAUCAUCUUGUAACCUGUAACUUUAUAAGUUAUAAGAGCACUUUUGUUCAUACGCUUCUUUUCUCUUUUCUUUCUCAUUUUCUUAGUAGCCAAACAUCCUUGGAGGAUGAAAUCCCCAAGGAUGAGAGGCUAAAACCUUUUAGUUUCUUGAAGUAAUGGAUGCCAUGUGAAGCUCCCGUGUCAGGAUGGAGAUUUCCAAGCCAUAAAUGUAAGUAGCUGAGCGUCAUAAAUGUUUUCAUUCAAAGUAAAGCUUUUAAUCCCUCUGACUUGCUUUGAAUGGCCAAUACUUGAUAACCUUUUGGUCUCAAUGGAUUCUUAUUGUUAGAUCCACUGACGUUCAUUAGUUAUCUCCUACGAGCCAUUGUAUUGCAAGUCGAGGAGAUGACCUAUACCAAUAAAAGAGCAUUUAUGAGGUUCAACUACCCUUUUUGUAAGUUUUCAAGGACUAAAACUCAGUUGUUAAACUCAUACCGGUUCGAGAAGUAAGCAUCACCUUAGUUGCUUCCCCAACUCGAGGUGAAAAGUCCCAAAAUCUCCAUUUUUACACAGUGAGUUAAGCAUGGCUAUCCAAAGCUUUAAGAAACUUCUUUUUCCAUCUUUUAACCUAUUUUCAUGUUAGUUUAGUUUACAACACCUUCAUCUUUUUAUGUUUUCAUCUUAACCUAAUUUUUAUUAAGAAAAGUUCACUCCAUCCUCCGAACUUCACCAGUUAAAGUAAAAACCCUUCCCAGUGUUCGAUCCUAGAGCCACUAUGCUAUAGUAGCUUUGCUACUUUAGUGUAAGGACCUUAGGUAUAAAUUUUGUUGAUACCCUUACAUGCCAAGCUACCAAGAGUCGGGUUAUCAUUAACCUAACCAUUGGCCUGUGUAAAUUGAUUUCACAUGCACAAUGUUGUAGUAGAAGUCCAUAUUUUGAAUUUUAUUUUUGUAAAGGUAAGGAAAAUGAAGCAUUGUGUAAUUAUAAAAAUAACUUCAUUGGAAUUCACAAGGUUCACCCAAAAUGGAGCUACAUCUGUAUUCUAUCCUACAGUAGACUAUAUAGAUUGUACAAUAGUAAAUUGCAAAUACAAUUAAUAAGUCUUGUGCUUCCUUACUAAUAAUCCUUUGACAUGAACAUUGCAGCACUAAGGUCCUCUUGGGAAGACACCUUGCACCCAUGAGAGCACUAAGAGGAAGCAAGGCAGAGUCAUGGGUGCAAUGUCAUGACUUGUUGUUGCACCAAGAGAGGCUUGGUGAUGCCAUGGUGUUGCAGUAGCAAGAAUGUUGCCUUGGCAGGGACACGAUCUAGGGAUAGAUGCCAAGAAAGGCUUAGCACUCACAUGAGUUGCACAAAGAUGAAUGUAAUAGAGCAUCAGAGAGACGUCUUGGCAAGUAAAUGAAUGGAUCCAAGAGACAACAACAUGAGGAGUUUCAAAUGGAUAAGGAAUGACUCAAAGACAUUUGAAAGCUACAAGUUGGAUUCUAAUUACGAUUGCAAUUUGAGUUUGAGUAGGAGUUUAGAUUUUGAUUGUAAUUGUAGUAUGAGUUGGACUAGGAUUGCUUAUCCUUAGUCAAUAUAGGAGCGGUUCGUGUCACCCUAUGAAAAGAGUUUGAGUAGGGACUAGGAUUGCUUACUCCUAGUCAAAUAUGGAGUAGGUGGUGCCACACCUAUAAAAAAAAGGGACAACAUGAGAGAGAGAGAGAGAGAGAAAGAGAGAGUGAAUUCACUAAAGAUAUUGUGGGAGUUUUGCUUUGUUACGUCUUGUAUUAUUACUUAGAAUAGGAAUAAAAUACAAGUUGGGGCUAGAGCCCCAUAAUUAAUCUCGUGUGCCUUUGUGGUUAUUCUUUAUUUGUCAUCUCGUGUGGAUUGGAUUAGGUUGACUUAGAGGGCUUCUAAGCACCACCUUUGUGGGUUAUUAUUUAUUUUCCAUCUCUUGUGGAUUAGAUUAGGUUGACUUAGAGGGCUUCUGAGCACCACCUUUGUGGGUUAUUAUUUAUUUUCCAUCUAUUGUGGAUUAGAUUAGGUUGACUUAGAGGGCUUUUAAGCACCACAUUUGUGGGUUAUUCUUUAUUUUCCAUAUCGUGUGGGUUGGAUUAGGUUGACAAGGAGAAAAAUUAUGUGGGAAAUUUGUGUUGGGACACUUACCAUAACCAAGUAAAAUCUACCAAGUCCUUUGUAAUAUCUUCAACAAAUAUUUUAGACUAGUUCUUUCAGUUAGUGUAAAGGAGGAAGAAGUGGUAUUGAUUCUAGAAAUAGGGUGUGUGUAUUUGAACUACAAUCCUUAUGAUCCUUAGGUCUCUAAACCUUCGUGAUGGGCUCCCUGACAUUUCAUAGGUUGUGCUACACAUGCGUUUGAAAUUUAGAGUGCGUUUGACAGUGAUUCCGGGAAGUGUUUUUGGCCUUUCUUACACUUGAAAAUUUUUAUUUUUCAAGUAUUAGAAAUGCUACAAACACUUUUGAAAAUUACUGUCAAACACACUCUUAGGAGCGCACAUAUAUAGUAGAAAACUAGAAAUUGUGGUUUUUUUAGGAUUUACUGUAAUGUCAUUAGGAGGGUAGUAAGUUGAAAUUGAGUAUGAACAAAUAUUUCUUUCUUUGGGAUGUUCUUCUAGUAGGUGCUGAUGAAACUGUUCUUUCUACUGCCAAUGUCACAUAUCAGCCAGAAAUUGAAAAUUUCAGUCAAGGUGUCCUCUGUUUUAGUGGUGAGGAAAGCUAGAAAUUUUAAGGUGAAGUUUUGUUAAAAACCUUAAGUAGCUGGGAUAUCAGGCCUGUUUUGCUUGAAAAAAAAAGUUGCAAGAUAACUCAUAUGCCAAACAGGUUCUGAUAUUGUGAAUCUAUCGGCAGACAUCAGUAAUCUCAUCUUCUGAGAUGGAUGUUGGGGGUGCAUGUGGUGGUGGAGGGGCAAGGUUUCAUUUGGUUUAUUUUGUUGAUGGAUAUUGUCUAGCCACCUGCGCCAAGUUUGAGGGGUGGUGGGUUGUGAUGACCCUACAAUUACUAUUAAUUUCUUCAUCUUUUACCGAUUAAAGUGUCCGAACAGUCGAAGUUACCCUUAUGCAUGUCAACUUGAUCACUUACCUCUUCAAUGGAGUUUAUGCUGGUUCAUUUAGGAACUGAUUUUUAUUGUUAUGUAUUAUAUGCUGAUGUUUAGGUCUCUCCAUCAUCACUAUAUACAAAAAUUCUAGGUUGAUACUAUAGGUUGAGAUUUAUUUUUUAAAUAAAAAAUAAUAAAAAUAAAAAUUAUGGUGAUGUUUAGUUGUUUUAUGGAAAAUUUUAACAAGUAAAAGUUAUUUUUGGGCAAGUUUUCAAACAAAAAGAAAAGUAAAAGUUGUUUUGACAAAAACAUAUAGAAAAAAAAAUCAUAGAAAAUAAAUAAUUUCCCCAUAUUCUAACUUUUUUGAAUUUUUCUCAAUGGGCAAAGGAAUAUCAAAUCAAGUUUGAGUAGGAUUUCUUAAUUUUUAAAAUAACUUACAAUUAAAAAAUUUUGGUGUUUUCAUUUUUGGACAAUUUUUUAUUAAGCAAAUGGACUCUGAGUCAUGCAAGAGAUAUGGUUCAUUAACCGGUCGAACAAUUUUUUUAAAUUAAUUUAAAAGUCAAAUACAUAAUCAAUUUCACAAAAUUUAUAAACAAAAAUAGGUUUAGAGAAGAUCUACACAUAAUUUUACUUUUCUAAUUUUAUUUUAUUUUAUUUUUUGUUGGAAAAUAGUCUUCAAAUCAUGUAAGAUUUAAUAGGUUAAAUUUGUUAACAAUAAAUUUUAAAUUAUAAAAUAUAAUCUGGAACUCAAAAAUCAAUUCAAGUAAUGCUAAAAAAAAAUCAAAUUUGGUAUAGAAUGACUUUGUAAAUUUUUUUACAAAACAAAUGAAUUUUAAAUCAAGUGAGAUUUAAUGCAUUAGAUUUUUAUCAAAUAUAGUAAUUUUAAAAAUAAAUUUGGAACUCAACAAUAGACACAAUAAAUACCAAAAAAUAAUGAACCAAAAUUGGUUUGGAAUAACUCCACAACCUUUUUUUUUUUUUUUUGGUGCACACGAAUUUUCUUACUAGGUAUAUUGCUUUCAAAUUGAGAAAGAUUUACCAUUUAGAUUUUUUUUUAAUGAGUUUAAUGGUAUUUUAAAAUAAUUCAAAAUUUAAAAAAUUGACUAAUUAAUAUUAUAAAUUGAUAAACCAAGACUAUUUCAAAAUGCAUUGGGGGCUAAGGGGGUUGAAAAUAGGGACAAUGGGAUGGGUUUGGGACAUGACACUCAUAUCUCAUUUCCAUUCCAAUUACACAGUUAUCUCCCAUCCUUAUCCCAAACUUGUGUUGGAGCAAGUUGAUUUGUUCCCAUCUUUGUUGACGAAAUGACUAAUAACCUCAUCCCCUCCUUAUCUUAGAUGUACAUUUUGUCAAAUUUGAUCAGGUAUGAUUGAUCCAAGCCCUAACCCUAAUUGGUAAUGAGUGAAUACUACACCUAAUUGCAUUCUUCUUUCAUUGCAAAAUAAUGAGAUUAUAAUAAUCUAGCAAAUAAGAAAAAAUAGUAUGGAAGUUCAAAUUAACACCAUAACUAUCAAUAAUUUUAAGCUUAUAGAUGACUUAAAUGAUUAAAAACUAAUGCAAAAUCCUAAAAAAAAUAAAAAUCAUAUAAAGAAUUCACAAGAGAACAGAAUGAACAAAAACCAAAUAUGAACAUGGGUCAACAUUAGUUAUGGAUUUGGAUUCCUUUCAAGGCCAAUCUUUGAACCAAGACUUCAUCAAAUCAACUACUUCAAAGGCUUUUGUGUUCUUCUUGGGUUGUGCUCUCAAACAAAGACUUCGAGGUGAUGUUCUAGAUGAUUGAAUUACACAUAUUUAGGGUGGAGAGAUUGGAGAAGCUUGAAGAUGCCAACGAUGGGUACAAUUGAGUGGUCAAUAAGAACAAUGUAGCCUAUGACUAGUUUGAUGUCAUGGUACAAGAGUUUUAGGCAUUGAGGUUAAAGCAAGAGCAACAUGGAAUUGAUUUCGGAGUCUUUCAGUUAGUGUAAAGGAGGAAGAAGUGGUGUUGAUUCUAGAAAUAGGGUUUUAAGUGGUGCGUGAUUACUACUCAAAAAGUGCUAUUUGAUAGCCUUUAAUUAAUCCUUUUUAACACUUUUGAGUAGUAGUUUAGGCCUUUUAACUCAAUUGGCAUGUUAAGGAUCCUUUAAAGCAAUUUUGAUCACUUUGUGCAAGUUUUGGUGUUUUUGUUAGUAUUUUGAUCACCAAAGCAAGUCAAGAAUGAGGAGAACUAUGAGGAAUCAUGGGCAAAGCUUAGAAUUCAAUUGCCAAGAGUGAAUCCGGAUUGCAAGGAGAAAAAGCAAAGAGAAUCUGUCAUGAAGCCUAUUCUUGAUGACAGUCGUAGCAGCCACUUUUGGAGCACUUUCUGAAGUCCAAAUGAUGCAAGCUAUAUACCAUUUCAAAGAUCAGGAAGUCAACAAUCCAAUGCUUCAAACGGUGCGCGAUUCGGAGUUGAAACGAAGAAGUUGCAGCCAUUACAAGCCAGUCACUCUAAAGUGUUGCGGAAUCAGCCUUUUGUUGCGAGAAUUUCGCAGCACUUUUGUACAGUAAGGUGUUUCUCCUUCUGACGAUGCACGAACCAUGCCGCGAGAGGGAAGCUAGGAACUUCAAGAUGGAAGCCAACUUUGCAGCCUGGUGAAGAUAGCUUGGUCUUGCGAAAUAAUUUCGCAGCCCUCUUGGGUGUCUGCGAAAUUUCGCAGGCACCACUUUUUUCCUGCGAAAUGGCUCCGGAAGCCUCCCGAAGCUUGCUACCGACAUUGGGAGAUAUUUUCCAUUAGAUUUUUGUUGUCUAAAUUCCAAAAUACUCCUUGUAAACCACCAAUUACAUGAUUCCUUAGUUUUUAAGUUAGUAAAAAGACCAAAUAUCUAUGUAAUAAUUAGUUUUAUAUUAGUUUGCUAUAAAUACCUCUCGGGAGCAUGUUCUCAGAGAGGAGUUCCUUCUGUAACCAUUUUGGUAAGCAAGUAAAGUCUUUUCUUUCUACUGCCUUACCUUCUCACUUUGUAUUUUCAUUUUAUUUCUAAGUUAUGAAUUCUCUGAGGAGCUUUCCCCAGAGAAUGAGUAACUAAACCUCCAAUUCCUUGGAGCUAAGGUUGCCGGGGAAGGUUCCAAGUGCAAGAAUGCAAAGCUCUGUGGUUUUAGCUAGUAAUGAAGAGGAAGUGAAAUCCUUUAGUGAUUUCAAUGUUUUUAGUUAACUUAAAACACCUUGGAGUCACCUGGGCCAACACUUGGUAAGGCAAGUGAUUUCCAACCGUGGAAAUGCACUAGUUUACCCCUUGCGAGCCUCUGGUAGGUGACUUCAAGGUAGGAUUUUCUGGAAUUACCAACACUUGGUAAGCUUUUGGACUCCUAGGAGACAUCCAUUAGUUAUCUCUUGCGAGUUUGUGAAGGGGAAUCCAAGGUUAAAGAUCACCUUGAAUGGUAAGUGCUCGUGAGAGGCAUGAACCAUUGCAAGUUGUAUCAGUGAGAGAAUUAAAGUGAAAUCUAAUUGAAGGAGUCUCUGUACAUCACCGGUUAGAGAAUUGACUAUAAGUUGAAUCUCUAAUGCGAGGAAAUGAACCAUCUGACCGGAGCUAUGUCUUUUGCAUGAGGAACCACCCCAGUGAACCUAAAUCUCCAAGGAAUGCUUUUCUUCCUAAAUUAUUCCAAACUUCUGUUAAGUUAGUUAGUUUAAGUCUAAACCUUUACCAAUCAAACUUUGUGUUUUAUUUCUUAAGCUAACCGUGAAAUGAAACAAAACCAAUUCACUUGGAAUUGGUAUCCUUGAUUGCUUGCAAAUCAUUCCCAGUGAACGAUCCUUAGAGCCACUAUACUAUAGUAGCUUUGUAUUUGCUACCCUAGUGUAUGGUGUUAUAGGUAUAAAUUUUGUUGAUCACUUCCUCAAUCAAGGAACACCAGCUGAACACAAAUCAGCUGAGACACCAAUUGGGCAUGAGUCAAAUGGCGCCGUUGCCGGGGAAUGAGUGUCAAGAUCAUUGUGAUACCAUUUUUGAGCACUUGUGAUUUUCAUCACAAGUUGGUAAAGUUUCUUUCACUUUACUAAUUUUCAUUCUCUCUUUGUUUAUUUACAAUCUAAGUUUAUCUUUUUAAAAUUUAGUCUAGUUUAAUUUUGCUAUUGUAGCCUUGUUUCUCUUGUUGUCCUCUGUUCUUGUUGUCCUCUGUUUUCAUUUUAGUUGCAGCUGAAUACUAGUUGUGUAUGCCAAAGUGGAUACGAGACAUUGGAGGUAGGCUUAUUAAGUGUGAUACACCUCAGAGAGGAGAAUUGGAAGUAAUCUUGAAUAUCAUGGAGGCUGCACCUGAAGAUCAGCAUAGUCACCAAGGUCGUCAAGACAAUCUCAAUGAAUUCAGAUCAAUGAGGGACCGUAUGCAUCCACCUCGUAUGAGUGCACCAUCAUGUAUAGUGCCCCCUACAGAGCAACUAGUGAUCAGACCAUAUCUUGUUCCACUUCUACCAACUUUCCAUGGGAUGGAAAGUGAGAAUCCGUAUGCACACAUCAAGGAAUUUGAAGAUGUUUGUAAUACAUUCCAAGAGGGAGGAGCUUCAAUUGAUUUGAUGAGGCUUAAGUUAUUUCCUUUUAAUUUAAAGGAUAAGGCCAAAAUUUGGCUUAAUUCUUUAAGGCCAAGGAGUAUCCGCUCUUGGACUGAUUUACAAGCUGAAUUCCUCAAGAAAUUUUUUCCUACUCAUAGAACAAAUGGCUUGAAAAGGCAAAUUUCAAACUUCUCAGCUAAAGAGAAUGAGAAAUUCUAUGAGUGUUGGGAAAGAUACAUGGAAGCUAUAAAUGCUUGUCCUCACCAUGGCUUUGAUACUUGGCUACUGGUGAGUUAUUUUUAUGAUGGUAUGUCCUCCUCAAUGAAGCAACUCCUCGAGAAAAUGUGUGGAGAAGAUUUCAUGAGCAAAAAUCCAGAGGAAGCUAUGGAUUUCUUGAGCUAUGUAGCUGAUGUUUCAAGGGGAUGGGAUGAACCAACUAAAGGAGAAGUGGGAAAGAUGAAGUCUCAGUUGAAUGCUUACAAUGCAAAGGCUGGGAUGUAUACUUUAAAAGAGGAUGAUGACAUGAAAGCAAAGUUGGCAGCUAUGACAAGAAGAUUGGAGGAGCUGGAGCUGAAAAGAAUGCAUGAAGUGCAAGCUGUUGCUGAAGCACCAGUGCAAGUGAAGUUGUGUCCCAAUUGUCAAUCGUUUGAACAUUUGGUAGAGGAAUGCCCUGCAAUUUCAGCUGAAAGGGAAAUGUAUAGAGAUCAAGCAAAUGUUGUUGGACAAUUCAGGCCCAAUAACAAUGCUCCUUAUGGAAAUACCUACAAUUCAAGUUGGAGGAAUCAUCCAAAUUUUUCAUGGAAGGCCAGAGCAACUCAAUACCAACAGCCGGAUCCACCAUCUCAACAAUCUUCAAGUAUUGAACAAAUAAUAGCUAAUCUCAGCAAGGUAGUGGGAGAUUUUGUGGGAAAGCAAGAAGCCACCAAUGCUCGAGUGGAUCAAAGAAUGGACAGAGUGGAUCAAAGAAUGGACAGAAUGGAGAGUAUGUUGAACAAAAGAAUGGAUGGAAUGCAAAAUGAUAUGAAUCAAAAAUUUGAUAACAUCCAAUAUUCAAUUUCAAGGCUUACAAAUUUGAAUACACUGCAAGAAAAGGGAAGAUUUCCUUCUCAACCUAACCAAAAUCCCAAAGGUGUCCAUGAAGUGGAAAGCCAUGAGGGAGAAUCAUCACAGGUGAAAGAUGUGAAAGCUUUGAUCACUCUAAGGAGUGGUAAGAAAAUUGAGCAGCCAACACCCAAGCCACAUGUUGAGAAAGAAGAAGAGAUGAAGAAAGGGAAGGAAAUGGAAGAUAAAGGCAGUGAGAUCAGUGAAGAAAAGAAGGACUCUGAUGCAACAAUGAAAGUAAUUCCAGAGAAGGAGCUUCUGAAGGAAGAAAUGCUGAAGAAAUCAACUUUUCCACCUUUUCCUCAAGCAUUACAGGGGAAAAAGGGGGUUAGAAAUGCAGCUGAAAUCCUAGAAGUAUUGAGGCAAGUGAAAGUUAAUAUUCCACUGCUGGAUAUGAUCAAACAAGUUCCAACGUAUGCAAAAUUCCUAAAGGACUUGUGUACUAUCAAAAGAGGGUUGACUGUAAACAAGAAAGCCUUCUUGACUGAGCAAGUAAGUGCAAUCUUACAGUGUAAGUCUCCUUUGAAGUACAAAGACCCUGGAAGUCCUACCAUUUCAGUCAUGAUUGGAGGAAAGGUAGUGGAGAAAGCCUUGCUAGACUUGGGAGCAAGUGUGAAUUUGCUUCCAUAUUCUGUCUACAAGCAACUGGGACUUGGAGAGUUGAAGCCAACAGCAAUCACUUUGUCUCUGGCAGAUAGAUCAGUGAAAAUUCCAAGAGGGGUAAUUGAGGAUGUAUUGGUUCAAGUAGAUAAUUUCUACUAUCCUGUAGAUUUUGUUGUUCUUGAUACAGAUCCUACUGUAAAGGAAGCUAAUUUAGUUCCUAUCAUCCUUGGAAGGCCAUUUCUUGCAACUUCAAAUGCAAUCAUCAACUGUAGAAAUGGGCUUAUGCAACUCACUUUUGGUAACAUGACACUGGAUCUAAAUAUUUUCUAUAUGUCUAAAAAGCAAAUCACUCCAGAAGAAGAAGAGGGUCCAGAAGAGCUAUGUAUUAUUGAUACUUUGGUGGAGGAGCACUGCAAUCAACAUAUGCAAGAUAAGUUGAAUGAAAGUUUUGUGGAUAUUGAGGAAGGUUUUUCUGAAUCUCCUAAUGGGCUUGCUACUCUACAAAGUUGGAGAAAGAUAGAAGGAAUUCUACCUUUGUUCAAUGAAGAAGAGGAGGCAGCUGUUGAAAAAGAAAUUCCAAAACUCAAUCUGAAGCCUUUACCUAUGGAGCUGAAAUAUACAUAUCUUGAAGAAAAUAAUCAAUGUCCUGUCGUAAUAUCUUCAUCUCAAACCAAGUCUCAAGUGAAGGAUGCAAGCUUCAAAUGGGAUCCGGGCAAACUGAAUCAGGAAGGGCAAAAAGUUUUGAUGUAUGACACAAGACUCCAUAUCUUUCCUGGGAAGCUCAAGUCAAGGUGGAUUGGUCCAUUUGUUAUUCACCGAGUAUAUUCCAAUGGAGUGGUGGACUUAUUGAAUUCCAAUGGCAAGGACAGCUUUAGAGUCAAUGGAUAUCGUCUUAAGCCGUUCAUGGAGUCAUUCAAAUCAGAAAAGGAGGCAAUCAACCUCCUUGAACCUCAAAAAGCCUAAGUGAAAUGGGUUUGCUGGACGUGGUUUUACCACAGUCCAAAAAUUUUUGUAAAUUUUGUAAAUUUUCAAGUUGUUUCCAUGCUUUUAAUCUUAGUUUUUGAUUUUAAAUCAUGUUUUUAGGUGUGUUUUAAUCGUUUUAUAUGAUCCCAGGCGGAAGAAAUUUCAAGGGGAUUGAAAAGAAAAAAAUCGGGUCGAAAUUGGAGCCGAAACAGAGCAAAAACAGGGGAAAAACAGAGCUCUGCGAAAUUUCGCAGGGUGAAGGAAACUUCUGCGAAAUUGGCAUUUUGCUGCCAAACCAUUCCGCAGCACUGUAGAAGCCUCUGCGAGUGUAUUUCGCAAUUGCGAAAGUGGAUUUGGCACACGAGUGCCACUUCGCAGCACAGUGACAUCAAUUUCGCAGCUGCGAAACUCACUGCGAAGUUGCUGCGAAAAUGGCAAGUUGCUGCGAAAUUGGCGUUUUGUUGCGAAACGUAAUCUGACCCCUGGGCUUCCGUUUUUCCUAUUUAUACCUGUCAAAAGUGCUGCGAAAAAGGUUUCAAAAAUUAGAGCACCAUUCUCGCAGCCCUUUCAUCUUCUUCGCCAAGCCACGCCGUCCGUUUCUCCGGUCGUCUUCUCCGUUUAGCAGCGCCGGCCAAAGAUCGAUAGCCCAAAAAUGGCACGAACGCGAGGGGCAAAGUCUUCAUCCCCUUCGAACCGCAAAAGGAGUCUGCGAAAGGAGCCAAGUUCAGGCUCUGUUCCAGAACCUGCUCCAAAGCCUUCGCCGUCGAGACCACAACCUUCUCCAGUGAAGCCGGCGCCACCAAAGCCGCCGGCAAGGCGAUAUUUAACCAGGUCAGGUGGUCAGCCAUUGAAGAAGAAAGCCAGAGUUGAGAGCUCUGAACCAAUCGAUUUGACUGAGCAAUCCCCUGAGAAAUCACCAAAUCCUUCACCGGUACAAAUUCCAGUGCCAUCACCGGUUCCCUCGCCAAUUCCCUCACCAGAAGCAACUCCAAUUCCAUCGCCGGUACCAUCUCCGGCACCCCAAGAAAAAGCUCAGGAGCCUCAAGCGCCAAUUCCAGAGCCCCAAAUUGCAGCUGAAGCACCUCUGGAAGAAGUGAUCCGAAGGCCAAUGCUGCCUCAGCCCCCAAUCGAAGGAAACCUGGAUUGCCGAACUCGGGCAUUCCAUUCUGAGCUUUGCUUCGAUUUAACAGCAUUCAGAGUGAGGCCAGAGCUUGCCCAAUCCUUCCAACUGCUGAGGAGAUAUCAUAUGGAGCAUCUGCUAGCUCCAAGGGAUUUUUUCUAUCCCCGGGUAGUCACGGAUUUCUACCAAACCAUGACAACCAAAGAAGUAAGAAAUCCAACUCUGAUUCAUUUCAUAAUUGAUGGAAGGCAUGGUAUUUUGGGAGCAAGACAUAUUGCUGAAGCCCUGCAAAUUCCUUUUGAGCCAACUCAAUUCGACAAUUUUAAAGCUUGGACAAAUCCUACUGAGUUAGAGAUGGUUAGCACACUAACCAGAGGAGCUGCAAAUCGAUCGCAUUUGUUGAGGGGGGAGCUACCUCCAGUUAUGUUUUUGAUUGAUGCCUUUUUGAGGCAUAAUAUCUAUCCCCUGCAGCAUUGGACCCAAAGAAGGGGAAUUCUCCUAGAAGCCUUGUACAAAAUGUCUGAAGGAUUCUUCUUUGGGCCUCAUCAUCUGAUCAUGGCAGCCCUUCUAUACUUUGAGGAGAAGGUUCACAAGAAGAAGCUUCAAAGAGCAGAUUGCAUUCCACUCCUCUUCCCAAGGCUGCUAUGCCAAGUUUUGGAGCAUCUCGGAUACCCCUCUGAGCCUCAGCAGGAAAGAAAGAGAAUAUGCCGUGAGCCUUUUACCCUUGAUAAAUGGAAUAAUAUGACGGCCUACAAAAUUGAUCAGCCUGGGCAGCCUCAGCCAGCAGCAAGGAGAGUCUCCCCAAGACAUAUACCUGAAGGUAUAACACUUGCUACUCCUGCCAUCCCUCGAGCUCCACCAGCUGCACCUGCUCCAUCACAGCCAUCCACAUCAGCUGAGCCGAGGAUGGCCAUCCCUAUAUCCGAAUAUCGAGAGCUGUGCCGUGCAUUGGAGACUCUUACAGCUUCUCAGAGCAAUCUUGCUCAGGAGUUGGCAGCCAUUAAAGCAUGCCAGGAGCAGAUGUUAGCCUCUCAGACUCAACAAGCUGCCAUCCUAAGGCAGCUUCAAGUCCAUUUCGAUCUGCCACAAGCUGUAGAGCCCUCUAUUCCUACUCCACCAGAGCCACACUCUCAGCCUUCAGAGUCUCAUCCUCCAGAACCCGAAGCACCAGCUGAUCCACCUACUGAGGAGGCAGAUCCUUCUGCCUAGCACCAUCACCCCCCUCAUCAGACAUUAUAUAUAUAUUUGCUGUUUAUGUUUUUAUGCAUGUUUGUUUUGUUUUAGUUGAAAAGAAAUCCCAGUAUUUUGGUACUAUAUAUGGGAUUCCUUGUGUUACUUGUCUUUAGUAUUGUAAUCACAUGAACUCAAAGUAAUACAAGUUGACUAUUUCUUGUUAAAAGUUAGCAUUAAAGUUUCCUUAUUUCCUUUUCUCACAUAUUCUAUUCUUUUUGAAACAUGUGGUUUUCCCCAAUCAAUAUUCGAAUUUGAUAUCAGCAUGGAGGUACCACUUCCUCCCUUUUAUUACAGUCACUCAAAUCACAUUGAGGACAAUGCUCAGUUCGGUUGGGGGGUAUGAGGAAGGAAGUAUUCUAAACCUUUUUGGUAUUGCAAUUAUAUUGGUUAAUUAGUUGUAGAUUUUACUUUUUACUAGUGUUACUCUAUUCUCCAUGAAUUUUGAGGAAAAAUUUUCAAAUUAAACCAAGAGAAAUUGAACUGUUGUUUUUCACUUGACUUAGAGUAUGGAUUAUGCUUACUAAAGUGGUUCAAUUGUUGAAACUUCUACUGAAAUUGAAUUGAGUUCUUCCACUUUAAGCUAUCCACACACUGUGCACAUUAGUUUCCGAUUAUAAGAUGAAAAGCUAUUUCCCUCUUGACUUAGUAUAUUUUUGGGACUUGGUAUAUUUGACCUCAUUUGAUAAAAAUUGAAACACCCUGCAAAAGGCCAAUGAGCCUUUGAAAUAAAGAAAGUUGUUUGCUUGCCUUGAAACCCGAGCAAGGUCUGAGGGGUAUAUGGUGAAAAUCUUUAAAGCCUGGUGCCCUAAGCCUUAAUUGGUUGGGAGUCACCGACCUCAAUGCUCGUUACAAGGGUGAAUAGGUAGAGUUAGCAUAUGGUAGAUGCUUGGGUAUUAGAAAUUCAUUCUUAAAAGUCCGGGGAAAAAUCCGAGGAGUUAGUGGUUGAAAGAUCCUUAAAACUUGGUGCCCUAAACCUUAAUUGGUUGGGAGUCAUCGAUGGACCCCCAUUACAUGGACAAGUCAGAAAGAGUACCCCAUAAAGCUACCUUAAAAAAAAAAAAAAAAAAAAAAAAAAAAAAAAAGAUGAAAGUGUGUUCUUUUCUUAUUGAUUUUGGUCAGUUUGCUAAAGUGUUGAAAAGAGAUAGGUUGGGGGGUGAGAUUAGUAGCAUAUUAUUCUCGGAACCUAAGGAACCAAUACACAUAGAUUUUUGUGGAAGAUUGAAGUUUAGUUCUUAGAAAAUGAAAUGAUUUUAAAACUUCAGUUUGCAUAAUGCACUCCCUUGAUUGACAGUGUUUAGCAUAGGUGUUAUGACUCUUGUUGAGAUUUGGGUUUGUAUUUCUUUAAUGAUUCAUGUGAGAAAUAGAUCAUCAUGCCACUUGAGAAUUAUUUUCCUUUUAGCAUGAUGUUGUAAAUUUUAGAUUAGUUUGCUAUUUAUUUUUUAUUUUCUCUCCUAUAUUGCUAAGGGACUAGCAAUAUGUCGGUUGGGGGGAGUGAUUACUACUCAAAAAGUGCUAUUUGAUAGCCUUUAAUUAAUCCUUUUUAACACUUUUGAGUAGUAGUUUAGGCCUUUUAACUCAAUUGGCAUGUUAAGGAUCCUUUAAAGCAAUUUUGAUCACUUUGUGCAAGUUUUGGUGUUUUUGUUAGUAUUUUGAUCACCAAAGCAAGUCAAGAAUGAGGAGAACUAUGAGGAAUCAUGGGCAAAGCUUAGAAUUCAAUUGCCAAGAGUGAAUCCGGAUUGCAAGGAGAAAAAGCAAAGAGAAUCUGUCAUGAAGCCUAUUCUUGAUGACAGUCGUAGCAGCCACUUUUGGAGCACUUUCUGAAGUCCAAAUGAUGCAAGCUAUAUACCAUUUCAAAGCUCAGGAAGUCAACAAUCCAAUGCUUCAAACGGUGCGCGAUUCGGAGUUGAAACGAAGAAGUUGCAGCCAUUACAAGCCAGUCACUCUAAAGUGUUGCGGAAUCAGCCUUUUGUUGCGAGAAUUUCGCAGCACUUUUGUACAGUAAGGUGUUUCUCCUUCUGACGAUGCACGAACCAUGCCGCGAGAGGGAAGCUAGGAACUUCAAGAUGGAAGCCAACUUUGCAGCCUGGUGAAGAUAGCUUGGUCUUGCGAAAUAAUUUCGCAGCCCUCUUGGGUGUCUGCGAAAUUUCGCAGGCACCACUUUUUUCCUGCGAAAUGGCUCCGGAAGCCUCCCGAAGCUUGCUACCGACAUUGGGAGAUAUUUUCCAUUAGAUUUUUGUUGUCUAAAUUCCAAAAUACUCCUUGUAAACCACCAAUUACAUGAUUCCUUAGUUUUUAAGUUAGUAAAAAGACCAAAUAUCUAUGUAAUAAUUAGUUUUAUAUUAGUUUGCUAUAAAUACCUCUCGGGAGCAUGUUCUCAGAGAGGAGUUCCUUCUGUAACCAUUUUGGUAAGCAAGUAAAGUCUUUUCUUUCUACUGCCUUACCUUCUCACUUUGUAUUUUCAUUUUAUUUCUAAGUUAUGAAUUCUCUGAGGAGCUUUCCCCAGAGAAUGAGUAACUAAACCUCCAAUUCCUUGGAGCUAAGGUUGCCGGGGAAGGUUCCAAGUGCAAGAAUGCAAAGCUCUGUGGUUUUAGCUAGUAAUGAAGAGGAAGUGAAAUCCUUUAGUGAUUUCAAUGUUUUUAGUUAACUUAAAACACCUUGGAGUCACCUGGGCCAACACUUGGUAAGGCAAGUGAUUUCCAACCGUGGAAAUGCACUAGUUUACCCCUUGCGAGCCUCUGGUAGGUGACUUCAAGGUAGGAUUUUCUGGAAUUACCAACACUUGGUAAGCUUUUGGACUCCUAGGAGACAUCCAUUAGUUAUCUCUUGCGAGUUUGUGAAGGGGAAUCCAAGGUUAAAGAUCACCUUGAAUGGUAAGUGCUCGUGAGAGGCAUGAACCAUUGCAAGUUGUAUCAGUGAGAGAAUUAAAGUGAAAUCUAAUUGAAGGAGUCUCUGUACAUCACCGGUUAGAGAAUUGACUAUAAGUUGAAUCUCUAAUGCGAGGAAAUGAACCAUCUGACCGGAGCUAUGUCUUUUGCAUGAGGAACCACCCCAGUGAACCUAAAUCUCCAAGGAAUGCUUUUCUUCCUAAAUUAUUCCAAACUUCUGUUAAGUUAGUUAGUUUAAGUCUAAACCUUUACCAAUCAAACUUUGUGUUUUAUUCCUUAAGCUAACCGUGAAAUGAAACAAAACCAAUUCACUUGGAAUUGGUAUCCUUGAUUGCUUGCAAAUCAUUCCCAGUGAACGAUCCUUAGAGCCACUAUACUAUAGUAGCUUUGUAUUUGCUACCCUAGUGUAUGGUGUUAUAGGUAUAAAUUUUGUUGAUCACUUCCUCAAUCAAGGAACACCAGCUGAACACAAAUCAGCUGAGACACCAAUUGGGCAUGAGUCAGUGCGUUAGAGGAUCAAGAAGAAGAAAAAGAAGGAACUGUUGGAAUUAGUAUGAGUGUGAAGAGAAAAGUAUAUAAAUAAGGGGAAGUAAAAGCAAAGUUCAAAAAGCUAUAUUUUUUUAUUGUUGGUGUAUGGUUGCAUGAUUAUCCCUAUAAAUAAUAGGAGUUUUUUGGUAUUCUACUAGUAGUUGAAGCAUAAUUUCAUAAAUUAAUAUUUAGAGCGGGGUGGGGUGAGUUGUGACAAAAUUCAUACCCGUCCCAAACCUUGGUUCAGAUUUUUAAAAUAUUCUCAAACUUAUCAUAUACCCAACUUUUAUAUUUCAUACUUGUCCUAAUAGAGGCACGUUAGGCCGGGUUACUUGAGUAACCUACAUAAUUGUCAUCCCUAGUUGAAAUACACUUUUUGGCAGUGGCCACCAACUGAGCUAGAAGCUUGAUUGAUUGACCUACAAGAUUAGUUCUCAUCAUUUUAAAAAAAGUUCUGGCUUUGGUUGUGAGUGCAAUUGAAUCUAAACUGGCAUUUGCUUAAUGCAUCUACUUCAAUCCUAAACUUCUUACUUCUUAAGCCUCAAUUGUUGUUAGGAUUUUGGAAAACCCAUUUCCUUAAAUUGUAAAUUUAAGAUAAAAUAAAAUAAAAGUGAGACAUUUCUUGAUUGAAUAUUGUUAAAGGUCCCUUGGCAUUAAGACUUGGUUGAAGCCUUGGAAGAUUAGUGGAACUCUCAACAUGUGUUUGAAUCUUGAGGAGAGUGGAUGUAAGCCAAAAUUUUGUCAAACCAUUAUACAAAUUGAGUUUGAAUCCUCAUUUCUUGAUUUCUUAUUUAUUUGCUUUUUCUUAUUAUUACUUGAAUUGUCAUUUGCAUUCAUUAAUGUUAAAAUUGGUUAUAAUUAACCAACACUAAUUCUCUUUCCCCUUCCCUUUCUUGGGUGUAAACCUAGGUUGGAUUAACUAGAUAAAUCUAUUAAGAUGGUAAAAGAAUAAUUAUUCUUAACAUACAUAAGAUCAUCUUCAAUCAAAUGACUCAUUGGCUAAUAUGUUGAAUUUGCUUAUUACUUGCAACUCAAAAUUGUGUUCUAGUUGUGUCAAGUCCCCAGUGUAUGGACAUUAAAUUUGUAGUACGUGAUGAGUAAUUAGAUGGUCCAACUCCAAGAAAGUGAUUGAAAAGUAGUUCAAGAAAGGUGCAAAAGGGAAUUGUUUUGGUAUUUUCGUUUUUAUUCUUGAAGGUGGCAGAGCUAAAAUUUGAGAAAUCAAGCAAAACAUACUGAAAUUACAUUGAAAGAAAGAAGAUGGGAGUUAAUGUCUUGCAGUACAUGAUAAGGACUUCAUGCAUGUAGUGUGACCCAUGUCUUGGACUGAUGCCAACUCACGGUUACACUUAUACCCUUGGUUCUCUCUUUACUACCUUGGCUAACCUAGAUCAGGCUAUGAGAUAGGCUCCUCACCACACCAUUACUUGCCCAUUAAUUAGAGACAUUUUCAAGCAAUGAGGUAACAUGGUGACACCAAGAGGGUCUAUUCCUCGCCCGGAACAAGUCUAGACUUGGUCUCAAAAAAAUGGAGAAAAAUGAGGUGUCGUUAUGUAGAAAUACAACAACCAUGCCUUCCUCAUUACUUAGAUUCAGAAUGUGAAGGUGAAAUUGAGAAACAGAAACUCUUGAAACCAAAAUGAAAAUUGAUACUUUUACGAAGAAUUACAACAACAUUAGAGGAAGACUACAUUCUUCCUCUUUAUUCCUACAUUUCUACACUACUUCUACUCCACUCCAUAUUUCUACAUACAUCUUUAAUCAGUCUUCCCUCCUUUAUAUAGAGCCAUCUUCACACAAAUUUCGCAAGGUAGAAAAGAGGAAUGAAACUUGGAGCAAGGUUCGACUACUGGUUGUAGCUUGUCAAGGCUGGAAGUGAACUUUUCUUGGCUUUCUGGGCAUGGGUAGUAACUUGUGGGUUCCUGUUUGGCAUAAAAAUGGCUAGAACAUGUGGCACUAUCUUGUUGGAUGAUGUGUCAAGCAUGUGGCAGCCAUCUAGUGGCGAUUAUGUCAAUUUUGGGAUGGAGAGUUGGCAUCCAAUUGCAAAGAAAUAUGACGUCUACCAACAUGCAAUGUAAACCUAUGUAGAUCAUAUGAAGAUAGAGAGGAAAAAUAUAGAAAUGGAUAUAUACCUAGAACUAGCUUUUUAUUAAAUGAAACGGAGAGACAACAAUGAAGGAAAAUAAAAUUUUUUGGCUUAUAUCAAAGAGUUCACAUUGUGUUACCCUAGGUUUUCUUAAAACUUACUUUUAUGAUAACAAAAAAGAAAAAACCAUUAUUGUUUAAUCCUUUGUUUUAAACGCAUGUAAGGUGUAAUUAAGUUAGUUCAAUGCAUUAAUUUAAGAAACUUGACCUAUCAAAAGUACAAAAUUAGAUGAAAUCCAUUUCAAUGGUUAAAAUGAUCAAAAUCAAACUUUUUCUAAGUAUUUUUUAAAAGCAUCAAUAGUGAAAGACAAUUUUAUAUUUAGUCGGAGUUUGGACAAAACUGAAAAACACACAAAAUCCAAGCGACCAUCUCUAGCUUGGAUGGUCGCUUGAUCCCACCUAGAGAUGUGCAUGAGUAAAAGGAUUUGAAAAUGGAAAUUGACUAUGUAGUCGAUCAAUUAACUUUGCAACAUCAUAUGCAAUCCUAAUUGCUAGUCAUCUAAUCAAUUAGGUAGUCAAUCAACAGGCCAAAAAUAUGUUUAUAAUGACUAUUUUGUACAAAAACCACCUGUAUAGUUAAAUAUAAUGCAUUUCAUUUAUAAAUCUUCUAAUUCUUGAAUAACGAUCCUAUCAUCCUUUGAAAGUUUUUAUUACACUUUUUUUACUUUUGUUCUAAAACUUACACAUCACCCUUAAUUGUACCAUGAGAACCUAGCUAUUUUUUAUUUUUUUUUUUGUAAUUCAUCAAAGUUAGCUUUUGUAUUCAUUGUUGUAUUAUUUUUAGUAUAACUUAGAAAGCUAGUGUUUUCAAGUGAGUAAAAUUAACUUGUAAAUAUUGUAAAGAUUCAUCGACAUGUAUCUUAAACUAAGUGUACAAGUUAAAACAUUUGCUAGUAGAUUUUCUCAAAAUUUAGAAUAGAGCUUGAGACUAUUGAAAUAGGUGGGGUUGCACCAAACCACAUCACAUCGUUGUUUGCACCUUUUUUCACUCUCUUUUACUUAGUUGCUCUAUAUUUGUUGUCUAGUAAUAUCCUAUAGGCUUGAUGGGUUAGGGAGCAUCCCUUUGUGAAAAAAUUUUAUUCAAUCCUUAGUUGUAUCACGCAUAUAUAAAAUGCCUCAUUGUUUUAAUGGUAUUCAGUCGUGGCAUCACAGAUAUGGGCAUCUAAAUUUUAAAAGUUUGAAACUUUUAUCUAAAGAAAAUAUGGUGCUUUGCCUUUUUGUAAAGCAUGUUGAUGAAAUCCAUGAGAAUUGUGUACUUGGGAAGCAACACCGAGAUGACUUUUUUUUUUUUUUUAUAAUAUUGUUUGUCCAAAUUCCCUACAAAUUAGGCCACCAGAUGUUCAUAAUUCUCCCUUCUUGAAUUUGAAAACUCGGACAAUUGGACAAUGCGACACCUAAGUCCGGUUUCUAAAUGCUAAAGUGAAAGGGUAGGUAUGGACCAUUGAAAUGUGAUCACAACUUUUCUCUGUAGCCAUGUUGUCUCUUUUUUCUUUUGCAUGAUUUUCUUACCUUAACAGAAUCAUAGACUUGUUUAGUCUCUAAAUGGGAUUAAUUUCAUCCAGCUUUAAGCUACUAUAUUAUAUCUAGGUGGAGGACUUUUAAGAGUGCAACCGACAUAGAGCACAUGGAAGUGGGUAUAUGGGACAUGAAAUUUCUUCUUAUAAAGAUUGCAUGAUUUUUAUAUUAGAGUUGUUGAGGCGCUAUGUAUUUAGCUUGUUUUGCAGUUAAAUUAAUUGGAUAAGUAGACAUUGGCGUUUCUAAAUCUACUGUGAAGUGCUUCAUGUACGUGUGAAGUAUUAGAAAUUUCUUUCUUGGCAACUUGUUUUUCUUUGCGGUCUACUGAUAGGUUUGACUAAAAUUAUAUUCCCUGUCAUGCUAAUUAAUUUUCACGUGCAUGCUCAAAAGAAAAGUAUGACCUUAGUGCACCAAAAUCACUUUGAUUAAUUUGUGAUAGGUUUUUGUGCAUCAUGACAUUAGCCUUAUUCAUUUAGAUAAUGUUUAGUUUUUAGAAAGUAUUAAGAAAAGGAAAAUAAAUAUUAAGAAAAAUAUUCUUAUAUUUGAUUGUAUUAUGAAAAAUAUCAUAAAAAAAUCAAAUAUAAUUUAAAUUAAUUAAUAAUUUAUACAUUUUCAAAUUAUUUAAUCUUUAUAUUGAAGAUAUAAUAUAAAUGAAAUGAGUUUUAAGUAUUAUAUAAAAGUGAUUUAUUGAUCUUACAUAUAUAUAUUUCUUUUUUUUUUCCUUCUAUUUUUUCUCUUUAUUUUAUUUUCCUUAUGUUUUCCUCAACAUUUUCCGGAACCAAACAUAGCCUUAGGAAAUCCACAAUUACCUUCAACUGAGUAGAUUCUGUUGUUUUAGCAAUGUUAGGCUGCUAACUUGUGUUGGUACGAACCUAUUAAGCCUAAAGAUGUAAUUAGUUAGGAUAUUCUUUUCCCUCUAGUCUUGUAGCUCCACGUGUACAGUUGGUUAGGACCUCAUUGUAUAUAAUGCUUGCCCUGUUAUUGUAGAAGACAACAAAGAUAAAUAAUAUUAACAUUUUUCCUCUCAUCUCUCUCUGUUUCCCUCUGUUUUCAUCUCCUCUCUCAUCUUGGUAUCAGAGCCUCCAUGGCUUCUUUCAAAGAAACCUCCGAAUCACCUUCUGCUAGCAUUGUUAAUGUGCAAAACCCAUUAUCUCAAUCAAACAACCUUCCUUCACCAGUAGCCACACCCUCUUUUUCUUUCUCGUCUAUGAAUCAACCUCUCACAGUGAAGCUGGAUAAUGGGAACUACCUCAUAUGGAAGAAUUAGCUUCUAAAUGUCAUCAUUGCUAACGGACUCGAUGAUUUCAUUGACGGAUCUCGACCCUGCCCUCCUCGAUUUCUCGAUCUGCAACAACAAACCCUCAAUCCAGAGUACUCAGCUUGGCAGAGAUACAAUCGACUUCUGAUGAGUUGGCUGUACGCAUCCUUGUCCAAAGAUAUAAUGGCUCAGAUUGUUGGGUAUUCAACAGCUAUGGAGAUUUGGAAUGCCCUUAAUCAGAUUUACUCUGCCUCUUCUAUGGCGCGGUUUACUGAGCUUCGCACCAAGCUUCAAACGCUCAAGAAAGAUGGACUCUCAGUUGGUGAAUAUAUUCAAAGGCUCAAAUCCAUUUGCAAUAGUCUUGCAGCAAUAGGAGAACCAGUUUCUGAGAAAGACCAUCUUAUCUAUUUGUUCAAUGGAUUAGAUUGUGAGUAUUAUUCUUUUGUUACCUCCAUUCAAAAUCGAUCUGACCAACCAACUAUUGACAAAAUCCAUAGCCUAUUGCUUAGCUAUGACUUCCGGCUUGAACAACAAAACUCUGUUUCUCUCCAUUCUGCCCAAGUCCAUAUGGCUCAUCUGAACAAGAAACCUUAUAAAUCAACUCCUCAACCUACAUUCAAUCAUAUUCACAUUCAACCUAGAUACUCUUCUCCACCUUUUAAGCCAACCACUAGUCAAUAUCAACCCAACAUUUUGGGCAAACCACAACCACAACCAUGACAGCCUCAACCUCAAUGGAAACCACAUUUUUCAAUCUAAAAUCAAAAGCCUCAGCGCCAAAUUUGUGGUAAAUUUGGACACACUGCUCUUAUUUGCUUCCAUCACACAAAUUUGAACUAUUCACCCCAACCUUCUCCUAAAUCUUUCAAUACUGUUCUCACCACAAAUUCCCAGCUCCCUAAUCCUCCAAAAUUUUCUUACCCUACAAUGGCUCAUCCUGCUGCUACGCAUAACACGGUUCCCGAUACAAAUUGGUACAUGGACUCAGGUGCUACACAUCACUUUACUCUGGACAUCAACGUGCUUGACACUGUGACACCAUUUAGUGGUUCAGAACAGGUGACAGUUGGGAAUGGUAAGCAACUCUGUAUCUCACAUCUUGGUACUGCAAAACUACCAUCUUCGUAUUCUCCUCCUGUUCUACAUCAGGUAUAUCACACUCCAAAAAUUUCAAAUAAUCUUAUUAGUGUUAAAAAAUUGUGUUCUGAUAAUAAAGUUUUUGUUGAAUUUUAUGCCACUCAUUUUCUUGUCAAGGAUCAGGUUUCGAAGAGAGUUCUCCUUUAGGGUCAACUUGAUAAUGGCUUAUACAAAGUUCAGUCGUCAUGCUCUCCUUCUGCUGUUUCCUUUCCUCCUCAAGUUUUCAUAGCCAACAUCAAGUAUCCAAAUCUGUGGCACAAGAGACUAGGCCACCCAGCUUUAUCUGUUGUUAAUCAAAUCUUGGAUUCUUGUAACAUUGCUCGAACACAGAAAAUUUGUUUUAAUUUUUUAAAUUCUUGUCAAUUAGCAAAGAGCCACAGGCUUCCUUUUUCUCUGUCUCCAUCCAUUGCAGAAAAACCUUUUGAGUUAAUUCAUACAGACCUAUGGGGUCUUUCGCUCGUUCGCUCUAUUUCUGGUGCUCUUUAUUUUUUACUUUUCAUUGAUGAUCAUACUCGUUUUACUUGGUUUUAUUUGCUCAAAACAAAAGAUGAAGCAUAUCCUACUUUUCUCAAGUUUCAAGCUCUCAUUGAAAAUCAAUUUAAUACCAAGAUUAAGGCUGUCCAAUCUGAUUGGGGAGGUGAGUUUCGAUCUCUCUCCAUACCGUUUUCAAAUAUGGGCAUUGUCUAUUGUUUAUCGUGUCCAUACACCUCACAACAGAAUGGGCGAGUUGAGCGAAAAAAUCGCCAUGCGAUUGUCCUUUCUUGCUUGCUCUAUGCCCUUAUCUUAUUGGCCUUAUGCCUUUCAAACUGCCACUUACCUUAUUAAUCGUCUCUCUACCCCUGUGCUGCAUCAUCAAUCCUCUUACUUCGCACUCUAUCACAAACUCCCAACUUAUACUCAUCUUAAGGUCUUUGGUUCCUCUUGUUUUCCGUAUUUGCACCCUUAUAAUACCCAUAAACUCCAAUACAGGUCACUAGAGUGUGCUUUUCUUGGUUACAGUUCACACCACAAAGGUUAUCUAUGUCUUGACAUUCAUUCUAGCAGGGUGUAUAUUUCUCGCCAUGUGAUUUUUAAUGAAGAUUCUUUUCCAUUCAAGAAUUUGAAAUCUUCUCUCUCUCAGUCUAUUUCUUCUUCCUCUUCUUUAUAAGUUCCUCUGUUCAUUCUCUUGCCUCCCCUUUCCCCAUCUCCUCUUAUUUCUUCAUCUAUACCUCAUUCUUUUCCCUCUUCUUCUUCUACCUCUAGUACUUGUUCCCCUCUCGUUGCUCCUACCUCUCUUCCUUCCUCUUCACACUCUGUGUCUCCAUCUAUUCCACCUCCUUCUCCACCUUCUCCGAGUGUGGACCUGCUUGCACCUUGUGUGAAUACAAAUUUACAUACUUCUUCUCGCACUCACAAUAUUCAUCCUAUGGUGACUAGAUCUAAGGUUUGUAUCUAUAAACCUAAGUUGUUGUUGAGUGUCUCCAUAGGUUCUCUCACUAAGCCUACUUCCUUUCUUCAAGCUAUUAAAGAUCCUUCAUGGAAGCAAUCCAUGGAAUUCGAGUUUGCUACCCUUCAACACAACAAGACCUGGCAUUUGGUUCCUUCACCUUCCUCAGGCGAAGUAAUCGGUUGUAAAUGGGUCUAUAAGCUAAAGCUUCAGCCUGAUGGCUAAAUUGAGAGAUACAGCCUGCUUAGUAGCUAAGGGUAUCAUCAAAUUGAAGUAUGGACUACUUCGAAACAUUCAGCCUGAUNNNNNNNNNNNNNNNNNNNNNNNNNNNNNNNNNNNNNNNNNNNNNNNNNNNNNNNNNNNNNNNNNNNNNNNNNNNNNNNNNNNNNNNNNNNNNNNNNNNNAGCUUCAGCCUGAUGGCUAAAUUGAGAGAUACAAGGCCUGCUUAGUAGCUAAGGGUUAUCAUCAAAUUGAAGGUAUUGACUACUUCGAAACAUUCAGCCUGAUUGUCAAGCUUUCUACUAUCUGUAUUGUGCUCAGUCUUACUUUUUCCCAGAAUUGGUGUAUUAGACAGCUGGAUGUUCAUAAUGCCUUCUUACAUGGUGACUUAGCUAAAGACGUUUUCAUGGAACAACUGCCUGGAUUUGUUGAUCCUCUCUAUCCUACUCAUGUCUGCAAGUUGGAUAAGUCUCUCUACUGUCUUAAAUAGUCACCUCGGGCUUGGUAUACUAAGCUGAGUACUUCUCGCUACACUUGGGAUUUGUUACUUCUAAGAAUGACUCUUCCUUAUUUAUUUGUCAUUCGUCUCAUGGGUUACUUCUUGUUCUUGUCUAUGUGGAUGAUAUAAUCGUCAUUGGGAGCCACUCUCCUCAGGUUACUCACCUUAUCCAACAGUUGCAUCAUUAGCUUUCUUUAAAGGAUCUUGGUCCUUUACAUUAUUUUCUGGGCUUGGAGGUUCAUCACACCCCUACUGGUAUUCACCUCAGCCAAGCAAAGUAUAUCACUGAUCUCCUUACCCGGGCGGCUAUGUUGGAUGCCAAGCCAUGUCCCACUCCUAUGUCCUCCAACACAUAUCUCUCUUUUCAUGAUGGAGUGGCUCUUGAAAAUGGUUCAGAUUAUCGAAGUUUUGUUGGUGCCCUUUAGUAUUGUACCAUGACACGCCCAGAUAUAGCUUUUGCAAUAAAUAAAGUGUGUCAAUUCAUGCACCAUCCCUCUAAUGUUCACUGGCAGGCUAUAAAACGUAUUCUCCGGUACUUAAAGGGCACAUCUCAUUUUGGUCUCUUCCUACAGCCUUCCUAUGACUUCAACAUCACUUGCUAUACAAAUGCCGACUGGGCUUCCUGUCCUGAUGACAAGUGUAGCACCAGUGGCUACUGCCUCUUUCUUGCCUCUAAUCUGGUUUCUUGGUCAUCUUCCAAACAAAAAGUGGUCUCCCGCUCCAGCGCCGAAUCAGAGUACCGAGGGGUAGCAAAUGGGGCUGCUGAAAUUGCUUGGACUGAAUCUCUUCUUUGUGAACUUUCCAUUACUCCCCCUCCCCUCAUUCUCUGUGACAAUAUCAGUGCCACGUACUUAGCUGCCAAUCCUAUUUUGCAUGCCCGCACCAAACAUGUGGAAAUCGACUAUCACUUUGUCACGGAACGUGUUCUUCAAUGCUCUCUUUUUGUCCAGUUUACACCUUCUGAUGAUCAACUUGCUGAUUGCAUGACCAAGCCUCUCUCCACCCAACGUUUCAUCACUCUACGCUCCAAGCUCACUGUUCUCACUAGACCAAUGAGCUUGAGGGGGGAUGUUAAGCCUAAAGAUGUAAUUAGUUAGGAUAUUCUUUUCCCUCUAGUCUUGUAGCUCCACGUGUACAGUUGGUUAGGACCUCAUUGUAUAUAAUGCCUGCCCUGUUAUUGUAGAAGACAACAGAGAUAAAUAAUAUUAACAUUUUUCCUCUCAUCUCUCUCUCUGUUUCCCUCUGUUUUCAUCUCCUCUCUCAUCUGAACCAAAUGAUCCAUGUUAACCUUGGCUUGGUUUGAUUUGGCUCUAUCUUAGAGAGCUCAAGGAUCACGUCAACUCUGGUUUCUACUAUUCAGGUCCAUUCCCAUAUGAACUGGUUCAAAUUUGAGAAAAUGGUAACAGACCUUUAGUGAUGUUGGUUUGGAGCCAGUUGCCAAACCCGCCCUGAGCUUUACCACUAAUGUCAAGGGAGAAAGCCAUUUGAACAAAAACAAUAGCUUCAAGGGACUGAAUCGUGGAUGAAAUCUGAUCCACAUUUCUUCUCAUUUUGGAAACAAAUGAGAACUUAACUAAGAAGAUUCUACGGCCUCAUAGUGCUUUUCCUGAUCUAAGGUUGGUUCGUUUCCCAAACUGUGAGAUGCACGUGCCAGACUUCAGAACUCUCACGCUCAGGAGUGUAUCCACGUGGUGGACAUAAGAUGGUGGCUUAAGAUCUGGUGUCGGUGGCUUUACUUUACUAGGAGAGUAGUGUGUCUUCAUCUCAUUCACUGCCGGAGGGUGGCGUAAGCAGUGACGCUAAGGUGGGGCACAGUCAAUAUCAUUUGCAUUUGACCAUUAUAGUUUUCUCCCGGCUUUAAAGUAACCUUAUCGUGAUAAAGGAUUACUAGCACUAGUUCAGAUGAUAGUCAUGUUAAAUUCGGACCAUGUUUGUGUCACAUUAUCAGCAACCAUGUGUUUAUGGUUCAUGCUUUCUGCAACUAAAAUUGAUAUAUAACCAGGUGAACUUCAAUCUAAAUUCUGAAAGUACUCAUGUGAUAGAUGGUGCCCGUCUGCAGAGUCCAUCAAUUGAAAAAUGGAGUGAGUGUAUCUAUAAGAGGGAAGGCUUGGAAAAUGUUCAGUUUUCUGGGAAUUCAACAAGGAUCUAAAAUAGAUUGUUUUCUUUGCUGAUUUCAAUGGUUGAAAUUUGAGAAGAUUGUGUCCACAUAACACAACUAUUACUGGUCCUUCUGUUGCAAUUUAUCCUCUAAAGCUCUAGCAUGUCUUCCAAUUCCCACUUCCCUGUUACUCCAGGAAAGCUAUUUCUGUCAUUGUGAAGAAGAAAAGAGAAUGUACAUAUCGAUGCUUUUAAGUGACUGGAGCAUUUAUAUCAGGUGGUCUGCAGCCAUAUAUGCCACUUUGUGAAGAUUGGAACAGUCAAUCACUAGGCUAUAUAUUAGUGUGGCCCAGCCACUUUAAUCAAGGACAAGUCUUCAUACUUAAAGUCAAAUUCUGCCUUUAGUCUCAUUAUAAAUUUCUGUUUAAAUAUUAAGCAAACAUUUGUUUAAUGCGAUUAAGACAGUACUAACUCAAUACCUGUUCUAUUUUUGGAUGCAAAUGCUUGAUGGUUUCAUCAUUGGAUGGGAUAAAGGUGCAUUCAUGAUUAGGAAUACUAGUAGUUAUAUUUUAAUUCUCUUUUUUCUCAAUGAGACUUGUUGGCACAAUUUUGCUGUUGAGAAACCUACCUCUCCAUGGAAAAUAAGUUGUGAUUGAUAGUACUGGAUAUAUUCAAGAAAUCUAAAUAUAGAUAGCACAAAAUAUUAUCGACAUAAAUAGCAUUAACAGCGUACGUAUGUCUCAGUGCUCAUCAGCUAUAAGCAUGGGGCAAACACUUACUAUGAGCAACUUACGUCAAAAUUCCAGAAUAGGACAUAGAAGUGACAGAUAUAGAACAUUGCAUAUGAGUCACAAGAAAGGAAAUUACGGGUGCAUAGCAGCUCUUAUUUUACAUACUACUACUCAUACUGAUCAAAGUCACUCAGUUGGGAUGGGUGGGAGUAGGAGGUUUGUGGGGUGGCUUGUGCGGAGGAGUUGGCAGCUUCUUUCCAGGACCUGGUUGCUUCUCUGCUGGAGUUGAAGGAGGCUUAAUCUUCCGAGGUGGCUUGUAUGAGUCUUCAGCAUUCUCAGCUGGAGGGUGACCAGGGUUGUGACCAUAAUGUGGUGGCUUCUCUCCCUUAGGUGGUUUGCCAACUGGGGUUGGUGGCUUGUAUGAGUCUUCAGCAUUCUCAGCAGGAGGGUGACCAGGGUUGUGACCAUAAUGUGGUGGCUUCUCUCCCUUAGGUGGUUUGCCAACUGGGGUUGGUGGCUUGUGUUCUGGGAGUGGCUUCUCCCCCUUGGGAGGUUUUUCCAAUGGGGUUGGUUUGUGUUCAGGAGGUGGCUUCUCCACUGGAGGCUUGUGUUCAGGAGGUGGCUUCUCCACCGGAGGCUUGUGUUCAGGUGGUGGCUUCUCCACCGGAGGCUUAUGCUCUGGUGGUGGCUUCUCGAAUGGGGGAUGCUUAGGAUAAUCAGCAAGUGAGGGGGCGGUGAGAACCACCAGGCCAAGCAACACCACUAGCAAAUAUGUAGGAGACAUCUUUGGGUUUGGGCUCAGAUGGUGCAAAACUAGGAGAAUUGGCUAGCCUUUUAUAGCGGAUCGUACCCAAUAAUGAAAUGACACGUGUCAUUAUGACCCAUGUGUAAUGGGGUCGAUUUGGGUCCUACAGUGUUGAAAACUUCGACAUCCACUUUUGGCCUUUUGCUUUCUCUACAGCCGCCUUGCUUUUUCCCUCUUUCCUUUUGUUUUCCUCCUGCCCCAUUCUAUCAACUAAACACAAUUAUGUAGUUGUUUAAUUCUUAAAUGAGAUAUUAUCCGUCAAUCGUAUUAUAUUUUAUCAAGAGAGAACGGAGUGCAAUGUGGCUGUAAUUUUAUCGUUUAGUUUUAUCUCUUGGACCACUGCAUUUUUGUUAAGAGGUGCAAUAAUACACGUCUUUAUCUGCCAUUCAAUAUUUACAGUAAAGAGAGGGCACAAAACUCUUCACUUCGCACCAUAAUUAUUUUGUUUUCUGGACACCCCGGGGCCCUUUGGUUGGUUUGGGGGUCAGAAAGUGAACAUCAUAGGGGGUUUUUCCCUUAUGUGCAUUUGUAUCUGAUGGCUUUAACUCGCCUUGUUACUACAAAGAAACUGUCACAGAUAGGAACUUAUUCCAGGCUGAGUAUCUCCUCAUAGACCCUAUAAAAGAAGACAAGUCAUAAUGAACAUCUAACCUUUGUUCAAUUUGAUUCAAUGCCCCCAUUGUGUCCAUCUCACAAAUCUGAAUUAUUAUAUCCAUUGAAUACAUAAAUUAAUGAAGAAAAUAUGAAACCCAAGAUACAUCUCUGCACAACCUCAACCCUGGUUGCUAUGUUUCCCUUCUAUUCACAUGAUUUGAUGCUAAUUGCCAAACUUGCAACAAGCCCUGAGUUUGACACCUAGUAUCGAUGGGCGAAUUUAAAGUCUCCUCCAAACAUAUAUUCCACAGCUUGAAGCUCACAGAAGAUGUUACAGGCAGGGAAAAACCUUCAGAGUUCGCUACCAAAGAUAAUUAUUAAGGAGAUAUCACAAAGAGAAUUCCAAGGGGUCUGAAUCAAAGACAAAUUGGUCGUUCGUGGGGGUUCUUACUUUCUUUUGGGUAUAACUCACUGAGGGCACUGUCUUUGUUAUUUGCAUUUCACAUUUAGAGUUCUGUUCUGGAAACAUAUAAAAGGAGCAUCAUUUUGUUCUUGGGUAACCCAUAGUCGUGAGUGGGUCCAUUUGCAUGCUACUUAGUUGAAAAGUUGGACCAUUUGCUCCGACGCCUACCUCCCGGAUUCCAUGCUCGGAUAAAACAAGAAUAAAAAAAAUAUUUAUAAUUUACAAAUGGGGGAAAGAAAAAAAUGUCAACAACAAACCAGGAAAAAAGAGUAGUAAAAUUCAUGUCACAUGCUAGUGAGAGAAGGGGUUGUUACACUCACUCGAAGUUCUUUCCAAAAUAUCGCAUGGUAUUUUAUUUUAUGUGUCAGCGCAGUUGUGAAUGGAACGUGCAAAAGUCCAAAUUGGCGUUUUUCCUUUUCCCGUGUAGGAUGGCGACCUUUAAUAAAUAUUUAAAACAAAAAACGAAAAAAAGGAGGGAAAAGGGAUCAGAAAAGAUAAAACAAUGUGUACAAGAGCUCAAUUAGUUUGCAAAUUACUGUUUGGAUUUUGAUAGUAUUUUAUUUGUCCAUCUAUAUUUGAUGGAAAAGAGAAUUUAAGAUAUUUCUGAAACAAAAGCAUUAGUGUAAAACUAAAUUAAGGUAUAAUUAAGUUAGUUCAAUGCAUUAAUUUAAGAAACUUGAUCUAUCCAAAGUACAAAAUUAGAUGAAAUCCAUUUCAAUGGUUAAAAUGAUCAAAAUCAAACUUUUUCUAAGUAUUUUUUAAAAGCAUCAAUAUUAAAAGACAAUUUUAUAUUUAGUCGGAGUUUGGACAAAACCAAAAAGCACACAAAAUCCAAGCGACCAUCUCUAGCUUGGAUAGUCACUUGAUCCCACCUAGAGAUGUGCAUGAGUAAAAGGAUUUGAAAAUGGAAAUUGACUAAAUAUUUAGUUGAUCAAUUAAAUUUGCAAUGUCAUAUGCAAUCCUAAUAGCUAGUCAUCUAAUCAAUUAGGUAGUCAAUCAAGUGUUUGUAAUGACUAUUUUGUACAAAAAACCACAUGUAUAGUUAAAUAUAAUGCAUUUCAUUUAUAAAUCUUCUAAUUCUUGAAUAACGAUCCUAUCAUCCUUUGAAAAUUUUUAUUACACCUUUUUUACUUUUGUUCUAAAACUUACAUAUCACCCUUAAUUGUACCAUGAGAACCUAGCUAUUUUUUUUUUUUUUGUAAUUCAUCAAAGUUAGCUUUUGUAUUCAUUGUUGUAUUAUUUUUAGUAUAACUUAGAAAGCUAGUGUUUUCAAGUGAGUAAAAUUAACUUGUAAAUAUUGUAAAGAUUCAUUGAUAUGUAUCUUAAACUAAGUGUACAAAUUAAAACAUUUGCUAGUAGAUUUUCUCAAAAUUUAGAAUAGAGCUUGAGGCUAUUGAAAUAGGUGGGGUUACACCAAACCACAUCACAUCGUUGUUUGCACCUUUUUUCACUCUCUUUUACUUAGUUUCUCUAUAUUUGUUGUCUAGUAAUAUCCUAUAGGCUUGAUGGGUUAGGGAGCAUCCCUUUGUGAAAAAAUUUCAUUCAAUUCUUAGUUGUAUUACGCAUAUAUAAAAUGCCUCAUUGUUUUAAUGGUAUUCAGUCGUGGCAUCACAGAUAUGGGCAUCUAAAUUUUAAAAGUUUGAAACUUUUGUAAAGCAUGUUGAUAAAAUCCAUGAGAGUUGUGUACUUGGGAAGCAACAUCGAGGUGACUUUAUUUUUUUUUCCUUUUAUAAUGCCACACCUAAGUCCGGUUUCUAAAUGCUAAAGUGAAAGGGUAGGUAUGGACCAUUGAAAUGUGAUCACAACUUUUGGCCUUUUCCUUUCUCUGCAGCCAUGUUGUCUCUUUUUUCUUUUGCAUGAUUUUCUUACCAAAACAGAAUCAUAGACUUGUUUAGUCUCUAAGCUACUAUAUUAUAUCUCGGUGGACUUUUAAGAGUGCAACCGACAUAGAGCACAUGCAAGUGGGCAUAUGGGACAUGAAAUUUCUUCUUACAAAGAUUGCAUGAUUUUUAUAUUAGAGUUGUUCACGUGCAAUGUAUUUAGCUUGUUUUGCAGUUAAAUUAAUUGGAUAAGUAAACAUUGGCAUUUCUAAAUCGACUGUGAAGUGCUUCAUGUACGUGUAAAGUAUUAGAAAUUUCUUUCUUGGCAACUUGUUUUUUCCUUGCCAUCUACUGGUAGGUUUGACUAAAAUUAUAUUCCCUGUCAUGCUAAUUAAUUUUCAUGUGCAUGCUCAAAAGAAGAGUAUGACCUUAGUGCACCAAAAUCACUUUGAUUAAUUUGUGAUAGGUUUUUUUGCAUCAUUUAGAUAAUGUUUAGUUCUAAGAAAAAUUUAUAUAAAAAUGGUUUAUUUAUCUUACAUAUAUAUAUAUAUAUAUAUAUUUUUUUUUUUUUCAUUUUUUUUUCUUCUAUUUUAUUUAUUUAUUUUAUUUUCCUUAUGUUUUCCUCACAUUUUCCGGAACUAAACAUAGUCUUACGAAAUCAACAAUUGCCUUCAACUGAGUAGAUUCUGUUGUUUUAGCAAUGUUAGGCUGCUAACUUGUGGUGGUACGAACCAAAUGACCCAUGUUAAUCUUGGCUUGGUUUGAUUUGGCUCUAUCUCAGAGAGCUAAAGGAUCACGUCAACUCUGGUUUCUACUAUUCAGGUCCAUUCCCAGAUGAACUGGUUCAAAUUUGAGAAAAUGGUAACAGACCUUUAGUGAUGUUGGUUUGGAGCCAGUUGCCAAACCCGCCCUGAGCUUUACCACUAAUGUCAAGGGAGAAAGCCAUUUGAACAAAAACAAUAGCUUCAAGAGACUGAAUCGUGGAUGAAAUCUGAUCCACAUUUCUUCUCAUUUUGGGAAAAAAUGAGAACUUAACUACAAAGAUUCUACUGCCUCAUUCAUAGUGCUUUUCCUGAUCCAAGGUUGGUUCGUUUCCCAAAUUGUGAGGUGCACGUGCCACUCUCACGCUCAGGAGUGUAUCCACGUGGUGGACAUCAGAUGGUGGCUUAAUAUCUGGUGUCGGUGGCUUUACUUUACUAGGAGAGUAGUGUGUCUUCAUCUCAUUCACUGCCGGAGGGUGGCGUAAGCAGUGACGCUAAGGUGGGGCACAGUCAAUAUCAUUUGCAUUUGACCAUUAUAGUUUUCUCCCGGCUUGAAAGUAACCUUAUCGUGAUAAAGGAUUACUAGCACUAGUUCAGAUGACCGUCAUGUUAAUUCGGACCAUGUUUGUGUCACAUUAUCAGCAACCAUGUGUUUAUGGUUCAUGCUAUCUGCAACUAAACUUGAUAUAUAACCAGGUGAACUUCAAUCAAAAUUCUGGAAGUACUCUUGUGAUAGAUGGUGCCUGUCUGCAGAGUCCAUCAAUUGAAAAAUGGAGUGAGUGUAUCUAUAAGAGGGAAGGCUUGGCAAAUGUUCAGUUUUCUGGGAAUUCAACAAGGAUCUAAAAUAGAUUGUUUUCUUUGCCGACUUCAAUGGUUGAAAUUUGAGAAGAUUGUGUCCACAUAUCACAACUAUUACUGGUCCUUCUGUUGCAAUUUAUCCUGUAAGGCUCUAACAUGUCUUCCAAUUCCCACUUCCCUGUUACUCCAGGAAAGCUAUUUCUGUCAUUGUGAAGAAGAAAAGAGAAUGUACAUAUCGAUGCUUUUAAGUGACUGGAGCAUUCAUAUCAGGUGGUCUGCAGCCAUAUAUGCCACUUUGUGAAGGUUGGAACAGUCAAUCACUAGGCUAUAUAUUGGUGUGGCCCAGCCACUUCAAUCAAGGACAAGUCUUCAUACUUAAAGUCAAAUUCUGCCUUUAGUCUCAUUAUAAAUUGCUGUUUAAAUAUUAAGCAAACUUUUGUUUAAUGCGAUUAAGACAGUACUAACUCAAUACUUGUUCUAUUUUUGGAUGCAAAUGCUUGAUGGUUUCAUCAUUGGAUGGGAUAAAGGUGCAUUCAUGAUUAUGAAUACUUGUAGUUAUAUUUUCAUUCUCUUUUUUCUCAAUGAGACUUGUUGGCACAAUGUUGCUGUUCAGAAACCUACCUCUCCAUGGAAAAUAAGUUGCGAUUGAUAGUACUGGAUAUGUUCAAGAAAGCUAAAUAUAGAUAGCACAAAAUAUUAUCGAUAUAAAUAGCAUUAACAGCGUACGUAUGUCUCAAUGCUCAUCAGCUAUAAGCAUGGGACAAACACUUACUAUGAGCAACUUACGUCAAAAUUCCAGAAUAGGACAUAGAAGUGACAGAUCUAUAUAUAUAGAACACUGCAUAUGAGUCACAAGAAAGGAAAUUACGGGUGCAUAGCAGCUCUUAUUUUACAUACUACUACUCAUACUGAUCAAAGUCACUCAGUUGGGAUGGGUGGGAGUAGGAGGUUUGUGGGGUGGCUUGUGCGGAGGAGUUGGCAGCUUCUUUCCAGGACCUGGUUGCUUCUCUGCUGGAGUUGAAGGAGGCUUAAUCUUCCGAGGUGGCUUGUAUGAGUCUUCAGCAUUCUCAGCUGGAGGGUGACCAGGGUUGUGACCAUAAUGUGGUGGCUUCUCUCCCUUAGGUGGUUUGCCAACUGGGGUUGGUGGCUUGUAUGAGUCUUCAGCAUUCUCAGCAGGAGGGUGACCAGGGUUGUGACCAUAAUGUGGUGGCUUCUCUCCCUUAGGUGGUUUGCCAACUGGGGUUGGUGGCUUGUGUUCUGGGAGUGGCUUCUCCCCCUUGGGAGGUUUUUCCAAUGGGGUUGGUUUGUGUUCAGGAGGUGGCUUCUCCACUGGAGGCUUGUGUUCAGGAGGUGGCUUCUCCACCGGUGGCUUGUGUUCAGGAGGUGGCUUCUCCACCGGAGGCUUAUGCUCUGGUGGUGGCUUCUCCACCGGAGGCUUAUGCUCUGGUGGUGGCUUCUUGAAUGGGGGAUGCUGAGGGUAAUCAGCAAGUGAGGGGGCGGUGAGAACCACCAGGCCAAGCAACACCACUAGCAAAUAUGUAGGAGACAUCUUUGGGUUUGGGCUCAGAUGGUGCAAAACUAGGAGAAUUGGCUAGCCUUUUAUAGCGGAUCGUACUCAAUAAUGAAAUGACACGUGUCAUUAUGACCCAUGUGUAAUGGGGUCGAUUUGGGUCCUACAGUGUUGAAAACUUCGACAUCCAGUUUUGGCCUUUUGCUUUCUCUACAGCCGCCUUGCUUUUUCCCUCUUUCCUUUUGUUUUCCUCCUGCCCCAUUCUAUCAACUAAACACAAUUAUGUAGUUGUUUAAUUCUUAAAUGAGAUAUUAUCGGUCAAUCGUAUUAUAUUUUAUCAAGAGAGAACGGAGUGCAAUGCAGCUGUAAUUUUAUCGUUUACUUUUAUCUCUUGGACCACUGCAUUUUUGUUAAGAGGUGCAAUAAUACACGUCUUUAUCUGCCAUUCAAUGUUUACAGUAAAGAGAGGGCACAAAACUCUUCACUGCUCUGCAUGUGUCCCAAAAAUGCGAUUGGACAAAUUAUGAUUUGCAUGCUAAAAAGAGGCAAAUGAGGUUAAUUCGCACCAUAAUUAUUUGGUUUUCUGGACACCAUAAAAAGAUGUUAUACAGGCAGGGAAAAACCUUCAGAGUUAGCUACCAAAGAUAAUUAUCAAGCAGAUAUCACCAAGAGAAUUCCAUAGAGUCUGAAUCAAAGACAGAUUGCUCGCUCGUGGGGGUUCUUACUUUCUUUUGGGUAUAACUCACUGAGGUCACUGUCUUUUUUAUUUGCAUUUCACAGUUAGAGUUCUGCUCUGGAAGGUUUGUUCUGGAAACAUAUAAAAGGAGCAUCAUUUUGUUCUUGGGUAACCCAUAGUCGUGAGUGGGUCCAUUUGCAUGCUACUUAGUUGAAAAGUUGGACAAUUUGCUCCGACGCCUACCUCCUGGAUUCCAUGCUCGGUAAAACAAGAAUAAAAAAAAAUAUAUAAUUUACAAAUGGGGGAAAGAAAAAAUGUCGGAAAAAAUAGUAAAAUUCAUGUCACAUGCUAGUGAGAGAAGGGGUUGUUACACUCACUCGAAGUUCUUUUCAAAAUAUCGAAUGGUAUUUUACUUUAUGUGUCAGCGCAGUUGUGAAUGGAACGUGCAAAAGUCCAAAUUGGCGUUUUUAUUUUUCCCAUGUAGGAUGGUGACCUUUAAUAAAUAUUUAAAACAAAAGACGAAAAAAAAAAGGAGGGAAAAGGGAUCACAAAAGAUAAAAUAAUGUUUACAAAAGCUCAAUUAGUUUGCAAAUUACUGUUUGGAUUUUGAUAGUAUUUUAUUUGUCGUUCUAUAUUUGAUGUAAAAGAGAAUUUAAGAUAUUUCCGAAGCAAAAGCAUUAGUUUGCUCUGUGAUGUCCCACAUCGAAUAGGGGAGAAAGUUUCUGGCGCUAUAUAUGUAGAGGCUCCUCUUAACCAAGUAGAUGCGUUUUAAAACCAUGAGGGCCCCCUUAGGUCCAAAGCGGACAAUAUCUACAUGAUUGGGUGUAAGUCAUUACAAAUGGUAUCAGAGCCGAUCCCCGACCCCGGUGUGGGGGUUUGUUUGGCCCUGUAAGGGGUGUUUGUCUGUUUGACCCCACAAUCCCAUGGGACACAACGAGGACGUUGUGUCUGCAUGGGGGGGCGUUUGUGAUGUCCCACAUCGGAUAGGGGAGAAAGUUCCUAGUGCUAUAUAUGUAGAUGUUUCUCUUAACCAAGUAGAUGCAUUUUAAAAUUGUGAGGGCCUCUUUGGGCCCAAAGCGGACAAUAUCUACAUGGUUGAGUGUAAGUCAUUACAUGCUCCAUGUCAAUUUCAGCAUUUCUCAUAUGUUUCACACAUACACAGAAGAGCAUCGUUUUUUAAAGCAUGCAUUUAUGUUGGAUUAAUUUGGAUUUUGUGGGAACUGGGGCAAGGAUCACAUGGAAGAGAGGUUGACUUUUUUCAGUACUUCAAUGGUUGAAAUAUGUGAAGGCUUGAUUGAUACUAAAGCUUGAAAUUGCGACUCUGUCAUUUGUAAAAAAAUAUGACAGCUUCCAUGCUCUCGUUUGGUUGCAUUGUCCGGUCGAGAGGUGCAAAAAGCAUUCUCUCUCUUCUAAUAGUCUUUUCGUUUAAAUCAAGGGAUUUGCCUUCCCGGUCGAGGUCCAAUAGAGGGUAACGGUCACCUACUAAACAUUAAAUGCUCCAACAACUAGUGAACUGAUCGACCCCAGCUCGACUAGUUGAGGUUACUUUUUGGUUUUCUUGUCUCCCGAGGUUAGAAACCUAUAAAUAGAGAGCUUCACUUCAUUUAUGAGUAAGAGAACACCUAAAUUUAUUUGUUUACCUACUUGUUUUUGCCAUAAAAGCUCUCAUUUCUUUUCUUGGUGUAUUAAAUCUCCAUUUGCAUAUCCUUUAGUGCACCUUUGUGAUUCAUUCUAGCCUUGAGUUGUAUUUAAGCCUUUGUUGAGCUAGGUUGAGAGUUUCAUACUUGUUUAUUGAGUGUUAAAGCCUUCAAGUGAGUUAAAACUUGAAGAGAUUGUGUAAGAGCCCAUUGGAGUCGGAAUCCAAGUGUAAAGGUGAUUAAAAGCUUGGUUGAAGCUUCAAGUUAGUGGAACUCUCACUCGGUUAUGAGCUUGAGAAGAGUGGACAUAGACAAGGCAGUGUCGAACCACUAUAAAAUCUGAGUUUGAUUUCUCUAACCUUAUCUCUUUAUAUUUGCUUCUCUUGUGCUUAAAUUUUUUGUGUUUAAAAAGAAUUUUUAAAAACUCAAUUCACCCCCUUCUUGGGAGUUUUUCUCUUUUAAGAUCAGCUUUUAUUUUCUCAAUUGGUAUCAGAACUAUGCCUCUUGUUUAAGACUUAAUCGUCUAAGAGGAAAUGGCUAAUCCAUCAAGUUCAUCUCACAUUGAAAGUUUUGCAACCAAUAGACUUCUUUUUUUUUUUUUGCGGGAACUGAUUAUCCCUAUUGGAAAACUAAAAUGACUUGGUUUUUACAAUCAAUUGAUUUAGAUGUAUGAGAUGCCAUUGAAGAUGACCUAACUUUUCCUUCAAAACUAGUUGAUGGAGUCAUGGUUCCAAAACCUAAGCAAGAAUGGGAUGAGCGUGAUUGAAGAAAUUUUCAAUUAAAUGCUAAAGUCGUUUAUACUUUGCAAUGCUCUAUGGACAGAAAUGAAUAUAAUAGAAUAUGUCAAUGCAAAUCGGUUAAAGAAAUUUGGAGAUUGCUUGAAAUAACUCAUAAAGGAACAAAUCAAGUUAAAGAGUCAAAAAUCAAUUUACUUGUUCAUAGAUAUGAAUUGUUUUUUAUGAAAGAUAAUGAAACUAUUGUUAAGAUGAUCACUAGGUUCACCAACAUUGUUAAUGGUCUUAAAGCCUUGGGAAAGACCUACAAGGAAUCCGAAAACGUGAUGAAGAUCUUGAGGUCACUUCCAUCAAAGUGGCAUACCAAGGUCACCGCAAUUUAAGAAGCAAAAGACUUGAUCAAGCUACCUUUGGAGGAGUUCAUAGGGUCAUUGAUGACAUAUGAAAUCAAUUUGGCAAAGAAGUAACAAAAAGGUGAAGACAAAAAGAAGAAGAACAUAACUCUCAAAGCUACAACUAAGGAAGAAGAAGUUGAAGAAGAAAAACAAAUUGAAGAAGAUGAAGAUUUAGCCCUCAUCACAAGAAAGUUCAACAAAUUCAUGAGGGGUGAAAGGUUUAGAAGAAGAAGGUUCACUUCUAGAAGAGACUUUUCUAAAAAGGAAUCUUCAUCUAAUGGUGACAAAAAGAGAUGGGAAGAGAAAAGAGACUUGGUGUGUUUCAAGUGCAAGAAACCGGGACACAUUAAAUAUGAUUGUCCUCUCUACAAAAGUGAAGUCAAGAGGAAAAAGAAUAAGGCAAUGAUGGCCACUUAGAGUGAAAGUGAAGAUGAAUCAUCCGAAGAAGAAAAUGAGAAAGAAGUGGCAAACAUGUGUUUCAUGGCAAUAGAUGAACUUGAUGAGGUAAAAUCUAACCUUAGUGAUUAAGAUAUACAUGAUGCAUUUGAAGAAUUGUAUGAGGAUUUUUAAAAACUUAGUUUGAAAAAUAUUUCUCUUAAAAAGAAAGUUCAACAACUUGACAAAGAACUUAGAGAAGUAAAAGAAAAAUUUUCAAAUGUUAAAGUUUCUAAAACUCAUCUUGAAAAAGAAAAUGAGAUUCUAAGAAAGAAAAAUGAAUAGUUGAACUCCUCUCUUUCAAUCUUUUCUUCUAGACAAAAAUCUUUUGAAAUGAUUCUAACUAGCUAAAAAUGUGUUUUUGACAAACAAGGGUUAAGAUUUAAAUCUUCAAAAAAUCAAAAGUAUUUUAAAAACUAUUUUGUAAAGGAAUCCACAAGUGCAAGUCCUUCCACUACUUGCAACUUUUGUGGAAGAGAAUGGCACAUUAGUAGUACGCCCUUUAAGAAAUGGUUCUCAAAAGAAUUUAAAUGCAAAAACUAAAAAAGAUUUGGAUUGAGAAAUCCAAGGUCACUAACCCUCAAGGACCCAAAAAGAUAUAGGUACCUAAAUCAACUUGAGUUUUAUGUUGUAAGGUUCAAAGAAUGAUAAGUGGUUCUUAGAUAAUGGUUGCUCAAGACACAUGACCGGAGAUGAAUCCAAGUUUGCUUUUCUUAAAAAGAAAAAUGGAGGAUAUGUUACCUUUGGAGACAAUGCAAAAGAAAGGAUGAUUGGUCAAGGCAACAUUGGUAAUGGCACAUCCUCUCUCAUUGAAAGUGUUUUAUUAGUAGAUGGUUUCAAACAUAACCUUUUAAGCAUUAGUCAAUUUUGCGACAAAGGUUUUUAAGUGAUUUUUUAAGCAUCUCAUUGCAUCAUCAAGGAUAUUCAAAAUGAUAAAACCAUUUUCAUGGGCCAUAGAUGUGAUAAUGUUUAUGCUAUAAAUAUUUCAAAAUAUGAUGGCCAUGAUAGAUGUUUUUCAAGCAUGCAUGAUCAAAGUUGGUUGUGCCAUAGGAGAUUGAGACAUGCUAACAUAGACCUCAUUUCCCAACUCAACAAAGAUGAACUUGUUAGAGGCCUUCCCAAAAUAAUUUUUUAAAAAGAUAAAGUUUGUGAAGCUUGUCAAGUGGGAAAGUAAAUCAAAAACUCUUUUAAAAACAAAAACUUCAUUUCCACAUCUAGGCCACUUGAGUUGUUGCAUAUGGAUUUAUUUGGUCCCUCUAGGACACCAAGUCUUAGAGGAAAUUCUUAUGCAUAUGCUAUUGUGGACGACUUCUCUAGAUACACAUGAGUCUUGUUUUUUAGUCAAAAGAAUAAAGUUUUUUAUGAGUUUUCAAAGUUUUGCAAUAAGAUUCAAAAUGAAAAAGGUUUUUCAAUUACUUAUAUAAGAAGUGAUCAUGGGAGAGAAUUCGAAAAUAUUGAUUUUGAAGAGUAUUGCAAUGAGCAUGGAAUUGACCACAAUUUUUUGGCUCUUAGAACUCCUCAACAAAAUGGGGUAGUUGAAAGGAAAAAUAGAACUCUUCAAAAAAUGACAAGAACCAUACUAAAUGAAAACAACUUACCAAAAUAUUUUUAGGCCAAAACGGUUAACACUUCUUGUUAUGUUUUAAAUAGAGUAUUAUUGAGGCUCAUACUUAAGAAAACUCCCUAUGAGCUUUGGAAAAACAAAAAACCCAACAUUAGUUAUUCCAAAGUCUUUGGAUGCAAUAUUUUAUAAUAAACACCAAAGACAAUCUUGGAAAAUUUGAUGCAAAAUUGGAUGUUGGAAUUUUCCUUGGUUACUCAACUUCAAGUAAAGCUUUUCGAGUUUUAACAAAAGAACCAUGGUUGUAGAGGAGUCCAUCCAUGUUAUUUUUUAUGAAUCUCCAAGAAAGAGAGAGGAUUGAUGAUGAUUUAGGUUUGAAGACCUCUAUAGGAAGAUUGCAAAUCGAAGAUAGAAGACAACAAGAAGAAAAUGGAGAGAAUCCAAAGAAAGAAGGAUCACCAUUGGCACUACCCCCUCAUCAACAAGCGCAAGGUGAAUCAAGUCAAGAGCUUCCUAAAGAAUGGAAGUUUGUCAUCAAUCACCCACAAGAUCAAAUUAUAGGCAAUCCAUCUAGUGGGGUAAGAACUAGAUCCUCUCUUAGAAAUAUUUGCAAUAAUCUAGCUUUUAUCUCUCAAAUUGAGCCUAAAAAUAUAAAUGAUGUUUUAGAUGAUGAAAAUUGGAUAAUUGCAAUGCAAGAAGAGUUAAAUCCAUUUGAAAGAAGUGGAGUAUGGGAAUUAGUACCAAGACCUUCAAAUCAAAGUGUUAUUGGAACUAGAUGGAUCUUUAGAAAUAAAAUGGAUGAAAAUAGCAUAAUUGUUAGAAAUAAAGCAAGAUUGGUAGCCCAAGGUUUUAAUCAAGAAGAAAUGAUAGAUUAUGAAGAAACCUUUGCCCCCGUAGCUAGGUUGGAAGCCAUUAGGAUGCUACUUGCCUUUGCAUGUUUUAAAGACUUUGUUUUAUAUCAAAUGGAUGUGAAAAGUGCUUUUUUAAAUGGUUUUAUAAAUGAAGAAGUAUAUGUUGAACAACCACCCGGUUUUCAAAGUUUCAACUUUCCUAACCAUGUUUUUAAACUUAAAAAGACACUUUAUGGUUUGAAACAAGCACCUAGAUCAUGGUAUGAAAAAUUGAGUAAAUUUCUUUUGAAAAAAAUGUUUUAAAAUGGGAAAAAUUGACACAACUCUUUUUAUAAAAACCAAAGAAAAUGAUAUGCUCUUAGUUCAAAUAUAUAUUGAUGAUAUCAUUUUUGGUGCUACUAAUGUCUCUCUUUAUGAAGAAUUUUCUAAGUGCAUGCAUAGUGAGUUUGAAAUGAGCAUGAUAGGAGAACUCAACUUCUUCCUUGGACUUCAAAUCAAGCAACUAAAGGAAUGAACCUUCAUCAAUCAAGCAAAGUAUAUAAGAGAUCUUCUCAAAAGGUUCAACAUGGAAGAAGCCAAAACAAUGAAGACUCUAAUGAGCUCAUCCAUUAAGCUUGAUAAGGAUGAGAAAGGUAAAUCCAUUGACUCUAUUAUGUAUAGAGGCAUGAUAGGUUCUUUGCUCUAUUUGACCACUAGUAGACCUUACAUUAUGUAUAGUGUGUGUUUGUGUACUAGAUUUCAAUCUUGUCUUAAAAAAUCUCACUUAAGUGUCGUGAAAAGAAUCCUCAAAUAUUUGAAAGGGACAAUGGACAUAGGCUUAUGGUAUCCUAAGAGUGAUAACUUUGAAUUAAUUGGUUUUUUGGAUGCUGAUUUUGUCAGUUGUAGGGUUGAAAAAUAAAACACUAGUGGCACUUUUCAUUUCUUAAGACACUUACUUGUCUCAUGGCAUAAUAAGAAGCAAAAUUUGGUAGCUUUGUCAACAGCAGAAGCUAAAUACAUAGCAACUGGUUUAUGUUGUGCACAAAUCCUUUGGAUGAAAUAAACACUUAGUGAUUUUGAUUUAUCUUUUGAGCAUAUUCCUAUUAAAUGUGAUAAUAGUAGUGCCAUAAGUAUAUCAAAAAAUCUCGUGCAACACUCUAGGACUAAGCAUAUAGAGAUUAGACAUAAUUUUCUUAGAUAUCAUACACAAAAGGAUGAUAUAACACUUGAAUUUGUAAGCAUAAAAGACCAACUUGCCGAUAUCUUUACAAAACCUCUAAGAACAUUUUGUUGAUAUUAGAGGACAAUUAGGAGUGAUUUCUUUAUGAUCUAAUGUGAUGAAUUCUUGAUGAAUAUACUUUUUGAUUGCAUGAAUUUCAUGUCAUAUAUGCAUCAUAUAGAAAUAUACUUAGAUAAUGGUCAAAUUUCGACCAAAAAUCAAAAUUCCCAUGGCAUUAGGCAUAAAAAUUUUGGAAUUUCAACUGAAAAUGGUAGGAGGAGGAUCACAAAAUGAGAAAGUAUGCAAAAAUUGAAAAAUCAAAACGUUGACCAAGCGGUCAAUCGGACUAGACCGAUCGACUAGUUUGUCGAGAUUUAGGAUUUUUAAGAGACUCCAACGCUUCAAUUUUUGCACCGUUCUCCUCUAUUUCUUCACGGUUUCUCUGAUUUUGUCUUUUAGAGACUAAUUUGAGUGCGUUUUGGAUCAAUUGAAGCAUUUUGGAUUGGAUUUUAGGAAGAUUGAAAGUUAAGGUUUCGGAUUUGGGUCGCCUUCUCUUCCUCUCGCGUGUCACAAUCAGCUUUAGCAUUGUUCUCUUUCCAUUUUCACACACCUAGGGUUUCAGUUGUGAGCAUCUCUCUCUCUUUACCAACCACUACUCCCUUGCUUCUUCCAUAUGGCUCCUAGGCGAGAGUCCGCUACUUCUAGGGCACAAGGCAAGCACCCAACUGAGUCGUCUCAGUCAAAGGCACGUCGAAAAGUGAGAUUUGACAUUGCCUUGUUCAGUUCCAUGGAGGACUACCAACUAUACAAGCAACACUUUGCUUAGAGACGAGUAGUUCCCAAGAGAAAUAUUAAUUUUCCUCAACUUCAGCAUUUCGAAUUUAAGGGUCUAUUUACUAGGAUGGUUGGUUGUCUAUUGUCACAAUUUCGGAGCCGGUUUUCCUGACCUUAGUGCGAGUUUUUUACUCGAGGGCGACUUAUGGCAUGGGUGGCAUGAUCAUUUCUACUGUUGGAGGAGUUGAGAUCUGUCUGGACCCAGAGAGCAUCUGCCAUAUUUUCGAUAUUGCUCUGGUUGGACUCAAAGUAUACAAGUCCAAAAUGUGGCCCAUUGUGCCAGGAUUUGAGCUUAGAGAGGUCAUUCAGAGGAUUUGUGAACUUCCAGACGCCCAGGAGAUGGGCAAACCAUUGCCACACAGUUUGACGGUCAUCAACAGGGUGCUACACCAUAUAUUGUGCUCUAUCUUUCUACCACGAAGUGGACAUUGAGAUGAGGUCUCUUAUUAUGAGGCAUUCCUUAUUGACUCCAUUCUAACGGAGAGACGAAUUCAUCUACUAUGUCAUCAUUCACUAAGCCUCCUCACAGUGACAUACCACCUCAUCAGGCACCUCUUGCUCCUGACCAUGCUCCAUUGAUGGAUUUAUUUACUCAUAUUAGCUCUCUAGGCACUCGCAUGAAGGAGUUUGUUGUAGUUAGUGAUACAUGGUUCUACUCCAUAGAGGAUCGCAUGGAUCAGUAUCAGACUGGCUUCACGUCACAGUUUGAGUAUCUCCAAUAGAGGAUUGAGCAUAUUGAGGAUCACUUGAGCAUGAGAAGAUGAUGGCUUUUCUAUGCUCUGUGUUUCCACCUCCACCUCGUCAACCUUGAUUUCUUAGAGACCCAUUGUUUUCAUUUUGUAAUGUUGCCAAAAGGGGGAGAUAUUUAGGAUCUAGGACUCUAUAGGAGACUUACAUGCAUAUCAUUUUCAUAUCAUUGUUUGGAUCGUACAUAUUGGAUAGUGAUACUUUUUACUUAUAUAUGAUAUGCCUAUAUGUUUCAUGUCUUACAUUGUUUCUUAUUGCAAAUUAUCUCUAACAUGUCUUGAUUAUCUUUUUUUUAACUUCAUAAAUUUUGAUUGUUAACCCAUGAUUGGUUUGAGGGGAAGAUUCUUCUUCUCCUAGAUAACCAAGGUUUGUCAUCAUAAAAAAAUUGGAGAUUGUUAGCCCAAGGGUUCUCCUAAUCAUGUUUUGAUGAUAACAAACCAUGCUUAAGUUACUAAUUGGUUUGAAUUAUAAAGAAUUUCAAGUGUUAAUUUGAAAAUUCAUCAAAGAACCUAAUGGAUGCAAGAUCAAGAUUUUUGGAAGACCUUUAAUCAUAAGAAACAUAUGUAAGAUGAAUGCAUGGGUGCACUUAAGAUUUGCAUAUCAUUUCAUGCAUAUUUGGAAAACACGGUUUAUGCUUUAAAGUUACAUUUCCAUCAAAAUUUGAGAUCCAUCAAAUGAACCUUAGGAAAAAUGUUUUAAAAUUGGCAUAUAAUUUUACCUAAAGACCUUGCCUAAGUGUUAGAAGCAAAAGGACAAAAAAAAUAUAGGUUUUCUGGUCAAAAAUGGUGAACCAGUCAAGGCAUUGUCUAAAUCAGCUCAAUCGGCCAAGGUACCGGUCGAUCGGUUUCCCUUUCCCUGUCGAGAUCUAGUCAAGAGGUACAAAAAUCACAAUCUCUGUCUCUUUCUCUCUUUGUCUAUCUUCCAGUAGUCUUUCCUUCCCGGUCGAGGGAUUUGCCUUCCCGAUUGAGGUCCGAUUGAGAGUAAUAGUCACUUGCCAAAUAUUAAAUGCUCCAACAGUUAGUGAACUGGUCGACCCCCACCUUGCCCAGUUGAGGUUACUUUUUGGUUUUCUUGGCUCCCGAUGUUAGAAACCUAUAAAUAGAGAGUUCCACUUCAUUUAUGAGCAAGAGAACACUUGCAUUUAUUUGUUUACCUACUUGUUCUUGCCUUAAAAGCUCUCAUUUCUUUUCUUGGUGCAUUAAAUCUCCAUUUUGAUAUCCUUUAGUGCACCUUUGUGAUUCAUCUUAGCCUUGAGUUGUAUUUGAGCCCUUUUUUUAGCUAGGUUGAGAGUUUCAUACUUGUUAAUUGAGUGUUAAAGCCUUCAAGUGAGUUGAAACUUGUAGAGAUUAUGUGAGAGUCGAUUGGAGCCGAAAUCCAAGUGUAAAGGUGAUUAGAAGCUUGGUUGAAGCUUCAAGUUAGUGGAAUCCUCACUCAAUUAGGAGCUUGAGGAGAGUGGACGUAGCCAAGGAAGUGUCGAACCACUAUAAAAUUUGAGUUUGAUUUCUCUAACAUUGUCUCUUUAUAUUUGUUUAUCUUGUGCUUAAAUUUAUUGUGUUUAAAAAGAAUUUUUAAAUACCCAAUUCACCCCCCUCUUGGGUGUUUUUCUCUUUUAAAAUUAGCCUUUAUUUUCUCACAAACUAUUGUAGUAUAGUGGUUUUUAGGUGUCAUCCAUUAGGAUGAAUUGUUCUCGGUAAUUAAGGCGUGAAUGAGAGGAGAAUUAAUGAUUGUGAUUAAGUAAAAUUGAUUUGAAAAUUCAUGGUGAAAAAUCAAUUUAACAAUGGUUUCUAAUUGAGAAAAACAAUGAAAUGUGAAAUAAAAUAAAAUUAAUAGGAAAUGAAAUUCUCGAAGUUAGAAUUUUCUAAAAAACAAAUUCCAUGGUGAAUGGAUGUUGAGAUCUAAUUUUCAUCAAGUUAGAUUGAAAACCGAAAUUUUCAUAUAAACUGAUUUUUUAUUUAGUUUUAGGUCUAGAUUUAAUUUCCCUUAAAAUUAGGUUAUUUAAUCCAAGAAAUCAAUUCAAAUCAUAUAUUCAAUUCAUCUUAAAUUAUCUUCCAAUUAUUCACACAAUGCAACUAUUCAAUCUCAUCAAAUCUAGCUUUUAAGAAUUUAAUGAAUCUACCUAGUUUGCAUUGUAAUAGUCAUCCAUGACAAUUUGAAGAGAAAAAUAAUUCAAUUAAUCAAUCACUUGGAUCAAAUUACCUUUGCAAUUAAAGUUCAUUUCUCUAAUUCACCACAGAUUUUGUCUCUAGAUCCUCCUUUCUCAAAGAAAAAUGAGAUUUAGCCACACAUGAUUGGAGAUUUGGUCUCAUAAGGCAUGUUUAGCUAGUGAUAAAAUGAGAGAAAAUAAAGAAAAAUAGAGAAUUCGAUUAAGAAAGAAAAUCUAAAAAAUUCUACAAUUAGAAAUGUCCAAAAAGCUUUUUCAUGAGAAAAUCAAGUUUCUAUUUAUAGGCCAAGGUCAAGUGGACACUUGACAUCAUCUAAGAGGUCUUCCGGAAGCUUCUUCAUCAAGAAAUCUGGAGUUUAAUAAUAAAAUGGUCAUUUCACAAGAGCUCAAACAAUUUCGCAUGAUUAUGUGAAAUAAAAAAUGCAACAACAGCAAUUUACAUCUUCUUGGAGCAUUUCGCAUGACUGUGUGAAAUUUUCACAUGAUCAUGUGGAAUCGACUUGACAACUCUCAUUUAGCCUACAACAUAAUUCCACCUUUUGGUCCAUUUUUCAUAGUCAUGCGAAAUGGAAAUAUUUGAUUUUUAAGUUUUCUUUUGUCAUUUCUUUCAUUUCCUUCUCUUGAUUCCACUUCAACUACCUCCGAAUCCUGGUCCAAACCAAUUGCAUUACUUCUUUCAUUAUGCAUUUGGAUCAUCAUCAACAUUAUUUGUUCUCUUCAAUUUGAUUCAUCUCUUUUGUCACCAAUUUAUCAAAAUCAUACCUUGAAAUGACUCCAAAACUUCAUAAAACUUGUUAGUAACUCUUGCAAGGGCAACAACAUAUUAAUUAAGUGUUUUAGGCAUAGUUACUACUCAAAAGAUGCGAAACUCAUGAUAAUUAUUAUAUAAAAUAUGCUCUUUUUGAGUAGUAAUCAACUUUCUUGCAUAAGCAGACCUUUUAGGGUGGAGUACUAAAGACCAAUAUGCUUGUCCUUGUUGUAAUAAAGAAACUUGCUCUUAUUGAUUGCACCAUGGGAGAAAAUUUUGCUACAUGAGUUAUCAUCAAUUUCUUCCCACCAAUCAUAGAUUUAGACGUGACAAGAGGCCUCUUAAUGGCAAGGAGGAACUGACACUCACACUUAUACAAUUAUCGGGCAUUGAUGUGUUGCAACAAUUAGAAUAACUUACACCAAUUAUGUUGGGGAAGUCACAAAAGGCAAACAUGAAAACUAAAAGGAAAAAAGAAAAAUGUUACAUAUCACCACAACUGGAAAGAAAAAAGUAUUUACUUUCAUUUGCCAUAUUGGAAAGCACUUAUUUUACAUCAUAAUAAUUUAGACAUAAUGCAUAUUGAGAAAAAUGUGUGACAAUAUAAUUGAGACAUUGUUCAGUAUUGACGAAGAAACAAGGACAACCUAAAUAGUCAUCUCGAUUUACAAGCUCUAACUAUUAGAAAUGAGAUUCACCCAAUAGAAAGCAGGACCAAAUUUAUUUUGCUUGCAACAUGCUACUCACUCACCCCAAAUGAGAUUAAGGAAUUUUGCAAGUUUUUGAAAUCAAUAAAGGUCCCCAAUGGCUAUUCUUUCAAUAUCUCUCGUUAUGUGCAACUCAAUGAAAGGAAGAUAUAUGAGCUCAAAUUGUAUGAUUGUCAUGUCCUAAUGCAACAACUUCUCUCACUUGUAGUUCGUGGAGUUCUACAUAAGAAUGUUUGUGGAGUUAUCAUAGAAUUGCGUAAUUUUUUCAAGCAAUUGUGCUCAAAGGUGUUAGAAACAAAUCACUUACACCAACUUGAGAACAAUAUUAUUGUCAUACUAUGUAAAAUGGAGCAAAUAUUUCUUCCAUCAUUCUUUGAUAUUAUGGUGCAUUUACUUGUGCAUCUAGUAAGGCAAAGGUUGCAAGACUUGUGCAAUAUUGUUGGAUGUACCUAAUUGAACGAUAUUGUUAUAAUUUCAUAUGAAUCAUUUAAUUUUAUUUUAUAUUAUGUUCAGUUCAUUAACAUGUACAUUGGUCUACAUAUGGAUGAUGAUAGGUACCUAAGCACUUUAAAGUCAUAUGUGCGUAAUAGAACUUUUCUAGAAGGUUCUAUUGUAGAAAGGUACCUUGCAAAAGAAUGUACAACAUUUUAUUCUAGGUACUUGAAUGAUGUGGAAAUAAAGUAUAAUCACAAUGAUAGAAACUUUGUUGGUUUCAACACUAGAGGAGAUGAAAGGGGUUAUCUUUAAACAUAUUGGACAUGCAUUGGGAAAGCCCAUAUUUCAUUAACUUAGUUCAAAAGAGUGGUCACAAGCACAUUUAUAUGUGUUGACAAAUUGCGAAGAUGUCAUACCAUUCAUUGAGUAAAAAAUUUAUUUGAAUUUUAAUUAAAGCUCUAGUUUAUAUCCUUAAUCAAUGUUUUUUAAAUUCACAAGGAGCACAAGCAAACCAUCAAGGCUAGACCACAUAUACGUGUUUGAGACGUAGAUUUAAUUCAUAACAAGGAAUUUAUCAAGUGGUUUGAAAGACAUGUAAGUAUAUUCCUUAUUAUAAGGGAUUUAUUUCACAUUAUGUUUAUAUUGAAUCCAAACCUAUUAUUGAAUUGUAGGUUGAACAAUUACAUAAUGAAGGUCAUAUAUCUGAACACCUUCUCACAUUAUCAUGUGUUCCAAAUUCAUUAGUUACAUGCUUCAAAUGAUAUAUUGUCAAUGGAUUUAGAUCCCACAUUAAAGAACGUGAUAAAAAAGUUUUUAAAAAAAGACUCAGAAUAAUGGAAUUGUUGUAGUUGCAAAAACGUCAAGCUUUACAAGUGCAUGUGAUAUGAGUCCAAUUAUUAGUGAUGCUCUCUACUAUGGUGUUCUAACUAAAGUUGUUGAGUUACAUUAUCUUGGUGAAAAUAAGGUUGUUUUAUUCGAGUUUGAUUGGUGGGAUGUUACAAAUAUUGGAAAAUUGAUAAAAGAUGAUGAGUACAAUUACACAUUUGUUAACUUUGCAUGAAUUCUAACCACGAACGAACGAUUUGUACUUGCAUCUCCAGCAAAGUAAGUGUUCUAUGUGAAGAAUGCGAAUGAAUCAGAUUGGCAUACUAUCAUGGAGAUGCAACCUCAAGACCUCUAUAAGAUGAACGGGAUAGGAUCCAAUGGUGAUUUUGAACCAUUUCAACAAAGUGAACUACAUGAUCACUAAUAUAUCUCAGAUUUAGUUGAUGAAGAUAUAAUCAAGUGGAACAAAAGUGAUGUUUUAGGACUAAUCAUCCUAAAAAAUAUUGUAGUUUCUUAAAAAAAAAAUGAAAAUGAAGAAGAUAAUUGAACCUUUGUCAUACUUUAAAAAGCAACUAUGCAUUGUUCAUUUUGUAUGUUUUGGUUUUCUUCAUUUAAUUUCCUGAUUUUUGUGAUUCAAUGUCAUAUUAUUGAUCUUGAAAUAUUUUUCUAAUUUUUCAUUCUACGAUGGUUUCAACAAGGAUGACAUCAAGUCAAAAAAGGAAAUGUGGUCCCACACACAAUAUUGCAUUACAGGGAUUAAGGUCAGGGAAGAAGGUAAAAGUUGCAUUUAAUGAGUACAAUCAAUUGGUUAAACAGAAAAAUGGAAAACACUUAUCGAGCUACAUAGGGACACUUGUAUCUAACCAACACAAUGUACCUCUCCAAGCUAGUGAUUGGAAAAAUGUUCCAAAUGAUGCAAAAGAGAAAGUAUGGCCUUUGUUUUGGUAUGUUGUAUUUCUCACUAUAUGAUGUCAUUUCACUGUUAUUCUAUUUUGUGACUAACGUUUGAAUCAUAUGUAAGAAAAAUUUGAAGUAGAUAAAGACUGAAAAGAUUACAUGUUGGGUAUAGCCUCAAAUAAAUAUAGAAGCUAUAAAAAUAUGAUGAAUGCAAAAUACUAUGACCCUUGGCAUAAGGAUGCAUGAGGAGAGGUUAAUACAUAAAUCACCAUUUGUCUCUGAUGUUGAUUGGAAGUGGCUUGUCUCUGAUGCAUAAACCAAAUCCCCCACUGAAUGUUUGAUAUUUGAUAGCAGGAAAAACACACCCGCAGCUAUACACCUCCAUCAUUCAGAUAAUUAUAGUGGGGGAGAUGAUUCAUGGUUGCCCUUAUACCCUUUAUUUGCACCAUCUAUUGAGAUUCUUUAUCAUGGCCAGGUUUUACUGCAGCAAUAAGAUAUGGUGGCAACAAUUUUAUCUAUAGGUGCGGUUCCAGACCGCCUCCAUAGGUGCGGUUCCUGACUGCCUCCAUAGGUGCCUCUUCUUGUAAUGUUUGUUCUGGGAAUUACACUUGAAAGCCUUAUCGUGAUAAGGGAUUACAAACACUAGUUCAGAGGACAGCCAUGUUAAACUUCCACUAUGUUUGUGUCACAUUAUCAGCAGCCUAGUGUUUAUUGGUCAUGCUAUCUGCAACUAAUAUAACCCGGUGAACUUCAAUCUAAAUUCUGAAAGUACUCAUGUGACAGAUGGUGCCUUUCAGCAGAUAUCAUCAAUUUAAAAGUAGUGUGUGUGCCUAUAGGUGGGAAGGCCUUGGCAAAUGUUCAGUAUUCCGGUAAUUCAAGAAGGAUAUAUCUAAAAUAGAUUUUCUUCUUGCCCAUUUCAAUAGUUAAAAUUUGAGAAGAUUGUGUCCACAUCACACAAAUAUUAUUGGUCCUUCUGUUGCAAUUUACCUCUGAACAUGUCUUCCAAUUCCCACGGUCCUGUUACUCCAGGAAAACUAUUUCGGUCAUAUUGAAAAAAAAAAUAUUAAAGAAGGUACACAUGCUUUUAAGUGGACUGGGGCAUUCAUAUCAGGUGGUCUGUAUCCACAUAUGCCACUUCGUGAAAGGUGGAACAGCCUAAUCACUAGGCUAUUUAGUGUGGCCCAGCCACGUUAAUCAAGCACAAGUCUUCAUACUUAAAGUCAAAUGGUGUCUUUAGUCUCAUUACACAUCGCUAUUUGAAGAUUAACUCAUCACUAGUGUAAUGCGAUUAAGACAGUCCUAACUCAAUAUUUGUUCUAGUUUUGGAUGCAAAUGCUUGCUGGUUUCAUCAUUGGAUGGGAUAAAGGUGCAAUCAGGACUAUGAAUACGUGCAGUAAUACUUCAUUCUCUUUUUUCUCAAUGAGACUUCUUGGCACAAUUUUGCUGCUCAGCAACCUACCUUUCCAUGGAAAAUCAGUUGUGACUGAUAGUAAUGGAUAUAUUCUAGAAAGCUAAACAUAGAUAGCAUUCAAUAUUAUCGAUAUAACAUUAACAGCGUAUGUCUCAAUGCUCAUCAGCUACAAGCAAUGGACAAACACUUUGAGUAACUCACAGCAGUCAAAAUUCCUAAACAGGACAGACGUGACAGAUCUAUAUAUAGAACACUGCAUAUGAGUCACAGGAAAAGAUAAUACGGGUACAUAGAAGCUCUUAUUUUACAUAUUACUCAUACUGAUCAAAGUCGCUCAGUUGGGAUGGAUGGGAGAAGGAGGUUUGAGGGGUGGCUUGUGCGGGGAAGUUGGCAGCUUCUUUCCGGGAGCUGGUUGCUUCUUUGCUGGAGUUGAAGGAGGCUUAAUCUUCCGAGGUGGCUUGUAUGAGUCUUCAGCAUUCUCAGCAGGAGGGUGACCAGGGUUGUGACCAUAAUGUGGUGGCUUCUCUCCCUUAGGUGGUUUGCCAACUGGGGUUGGUGGCUUGUUUUCUGGGAGUGGCUUCUCUCCCUUGGGUGGUUUGCCAACUGGGGUUGGUGGCUUGUGUUCUGGGAGUGGCUUCUCCCCCUUGGGAGGUUUUUCGAAUGGGGUGGGUUUGUGUCCUGGUGGUGGCUUCUCUCCCUUGGGAGGUUUACCAAUUGGGGUCGGUGGCUUGUGUUCUGGGAGGGGCUUCUCUCCCUGGGGAGGUUUAGUGGGUGGCUUGUGUUCUGGAGGUGGCUUCUCCACCGGAGGCUUAUGCUCUGGUGGUGGCUUCUCGAAGGGGGGAUGCUCAGGGUAAUCACCAAGUGAGGGGGUGGUGAGAACCACCAUGCCAAGCAACAACACUAGCAAGUAUGUAGUAGACAUCUUUGGGUUUGGACUCAGACAGUGCAAAACUACGAGAAAUCGCUAGCCCUUUAUAGCGGCUCGGACCUAAUACUGACAUAAUAUAAAAUAAAUAUUAUAUUUUAUCAAGAGAGAACAGAGUGUAAUUUUAUCAUUAAUACCGAUCGAGGCCAAAGAAAGAAGACCCAUAAUCCAUUUCCCACAAGCAUACACAAUGCAGCUGUAAUUUUAUCAUUUACUUUUAUCCCUUGGACCACUGCAUUUUUGUUGAGAGACACAAUAACACAUUUUUAUCUGUCAUUCAACAUUUACAGUAAAGAGAGGGCACAAAACGCAAUUAGAUAAAUUAUGUUUUGCCUGCUAAAAAGAGGCAAAUAACUUUAUUUGCAACAUAAUUAUUUUGGUUUCUAGUGACCCCGGGGCCUUUCGGUUGGUUUGGGAUCGGAAAAUGAACAUCAUAGGGGGGGUUGUGCCCUUAUGGGCAUAUAUAUCUGAUAGCUUCAACUGGCCUUGUUCCUAGAAAGAAAUUGCCAAAGAUAUAAACUUAUUCCAGGCUGAAAGUAGAUGAGAGUCAUAAUGAACAUCAACCUUUGUUCAGUUUGAUUCAAUGCCCCCAUAGUGUUCAUUUCACAGAUCUGAAUGAUUAUAUCCGUUGAAUACAUAAAUUAAUGAAGACAAAUAUGAAACCCAAGAUACAUCUCUGCAUAACAACCCCAACCCUGGUUGCUAUGUUUCCCUUCUUCUAUUCACAUGAGGAUACUGGUUAUAAUUGUCAAACUUGCAACAAGCCCUUUGACACCUAACGUCAAUGGACGAAUUAAAAGUCUCCUUCAAACGUCUAUUUCACAGCAUGAAGCUUAUAAAGGAUGCUGACAACCUUCAGAGUUAGCGACAAAAGAUAAUUAUCAAGGAGAGAUAGUUCCAUGAGAAUUCCAAGGAGUCUGAAUCAAAGACAAAUUGCUCACUCAAGGGUUCUUAUUUUCUUUUAGGUACAAAUCUCUUGAGUGUUGUUAAAGAAACACGUCACUGUCAUUUUGAUUUGCAUUUAACAUUUCACUUUUGUUCUGGAAGGUUUGUUCCGGAAACAUAUCAAAUGAGCAUCAUUUUCUUCUUCGGUGACACAUGGUCGCGAGUACGUGGGUCCAUUUUCAUGCCACUUAGUUGAAAAGUUGGAAAGAAAAAACAUGCCAACAAGAAGAUAGUGAGAGAAGGGGCACUUCAAGCCUUUAACAUGAACAAACAGUAAAUAAAAGAUGUUUCUCCACUCAUAAAAGUGUGUUAGAUAGCAAUAUAACGAAUCACAUCCAAAAUCUUUACUAGGCUCAAACAUAAAGAAGACUCAUUUUUAAGAAAAGAUAAAAAUGGCAUUGUCUGAUAGUAUCCAAUACACGAGAUGGCACUUAAUUUGUACAAGAUCUGUCAAUGCUGACGCACAUUUUCUGAUUAAAAAAAAACUGAUCAGUCAAAAGCAAUGAAGAGAAGUGAUGACAAUGAAUGAUGCUUCCAAUAUUUUCACCCCUUAUAGUGUUCUUCAUGAUUCAGAUAUAUAAUUGGAAAUAGAACAACCCUAUGCCAUACAUUCGUCUAAGUAUGGUGUCUAAUUUUUUGUGUCAGCGGUUGCGAAUGGAGCGUGCAAAAGUCCAAAUUGGCGUCUCUCCAUUUCCACAUAGGAAGGUGACCUUUAUUGACAAAUACCCAAUAUUUGUAGACAUUCCUUAAAUAUCAUAACUUCUUGUUGAUUUGAAAAUCAUUUUUCAACUACCAUGUUUUAAUAAAUAUUUUUUAAAAUGUAUUUUUAUCAAAGUCCACCAUGAUGGAUAAUAUUCACCAUGCAAUAAUUAAUAAAGUACAAACUAAGCGAAAUGAAAAGCAUUUUCUUUGCUUUGAGUUGAUUUUGGUUGCAUUGAGUUGAUUUUGGUUUCAUGGUUUUUUCAACUCUUAUUUUGAUUGGAAGAUGUCAAGAAAAGAAAACAUAAAGAAAAAUUAAAAGGGAAAAAAGAAGAAAAAUAAAAAAAAAUAGAUUUAAAAGUUAAUAAAUUAUUUUUUAUAUUUAUUUUAAUUCAUUUCACUUAUUUUUCUUUUACUAUAUAAAAUUUAAAUAAUUUAAAUUUUAUAAUUAAUUUAAUUACAUUUCAUUUUCUUCUAUAUUUAAAUAUUGGAAAAAUAUUUUACUUAAUAUUUUUUUCUUUAAUUUCUUUGGCAUUUUGGGAACCAAACUUAGCCUUUAAAAUAAAAAACAAAAAAAAAAUGAAAAUAAGGAGGGAAAAGUGAGAAAAGAUAAAAACAAUAUGUAAAGGAUUUGAAAAGUAUUAGUUUGUAAUUACUAUUUGGAUUUCAAUAGUAUUUUAUUUGUCUUUCUAUAUUUCAUGUAAGAGAGAAUUUAAGAUAUUCCCCAAGGCAAAGCAUUAGUUACCUGCAAUCAGUGGUGAUAAGGCUCCAAGCCAAUUUUGGGCCCCAUAUCUUAAGACAGUACAAUUUCCAUUUCAACAUUUCUGAUUUCUCAGAUGUUUCACAUACCACAGAAGAACAUUGUUUGUGAAAAUAUGCAUUUAUGUUGGAUUUUGUAUGCUGUGGGGACUGGGGCAAGGAUCAUAUGGAAGAGUGGUUGACUUUUUCUGUACUUUAACGGUUGAAAUAGGAUAAGCACGGGCAUUUGUGAGGCUUAAUUGAUUUUGAAGCCUGAAAUUGCGUUUCUGUCAUUUUGUCAAAAAAAUGGCAGAUUCCAUACUCAUAUGUUUGGCCUGUGGCCAUGUACAGAUGCCAUUUAGUGACCAGUUUGUAACUGUCAAUCGUUGCGUUUUGACUCUGCCUCAACAACAUCUGCCAUUGACGGGUUUUCAUACUUGCAAAUCAAAUAGUCUUUCGUCCCAUCAGGAAUUUCGGUUUAAAUAUUAUUAAGCAUACGUUUGGCUGACAAUCAUUAUCCAGUUCAUGAUUUGGUUUCUUACCCUUAAUCAAUGGUUUCUAAGUGAAUAUAUGUAGAAGGAAAUCCGAAGUGUAGACAGUAGUAUCGAUAACUCUCAAUAUUCUCUAUAUAAUAGAAUAAACAGCGUCAUAGUGAUCGUCGCCUACAAGCAAGGUACAAAUACCAAAACGAGUGACUCACAUAGACAUCUCCCAACAAGAUGUAGUAGUGACUGACACAUGGACACAAUUAACUCGUAGAAAAGGAUAAGACCAUUGCACAGCAGCUCUUAUUUUACAUACUACUUAUGCUAACCAAAGUCAAUUAGUUGGGAUGGGUGGGAGAUGGAGGUUUGUGCGGUGGCUUGUGGGGCGGAGUUGAUGGCUUCUUUCCAGGAGCUUCUGGCUUUUUCAUCGGAGCUGAAGGAGGCUCAAUCUUAUGAGGCGGCUUGUAUGAGUCUUCUUUACUCUCGACAGGAGGGUGGCCAGGGUUGUGAUCAUAAUGUGGUGGCUUCUCUCCCUUAGGUGGCUUGCCAACUGGGGUUGGUGGCUUGUGUUCAGGAAGUGGUUUCUCUCCCAUGGGAGGUUUAGCAAUUGGGGUUGGUGGCUUGUGUUCUGGGAGUGGCUUCUCUCCCUUGGGAGGUUUAGUAGGUGACUUGUGUUCUGGAGGUGGCUUCUCCACCGGAGGCUUGUGCUCCGGUGGUGGCUUCUUGGUUGGAGGGGGCUUGGGGUAAUCAGCAAGAGAUGGGGUGGUGAGAACCACCAGUCCAAGGAACAACACUAGCAAGUAUGUGGGAGACAUUUUUGAGUUUGGGCUGAUCAGAUGAUGCAAAACUAAAGCAUUACGUGACCUUUUAUAGCAUGUAGCUCCCAAUACCCACUAAGUAUUGUGGGGUCCAUUUGUGCCCUACGGGGUUGAAAACUUAGACAAUUGGGCAAGGACCCACCUGACUAUGGAGGACUAGUGAGGUGUGAUCAUAGCUUUAGGAUUUUUCUUCCUCUGCAGCCGUCGUGCCGUUGGCAUGAUUUUCUUAAUCUUAAAUAAAGGCAUAGUUAUAGAGUUGUUUAAUCUCUAAAUGGGAUUUUAUAUAUAUCUUCAGAUAGCCAUUAAUAUAUUUGAUGAAGAAAGAAAGACAAGUGCAUACAACAUGUAUACGACUAGCUUUCAUGGAGUUCAUUUAUGAUCAGUUUUCCUGUACAUGUAAACCAGGAUCAUAUAUAUGUUUCUGUUCCACAACUAUUUUGGAAUCUUGUUUAUCAGUUUUUAUCAUUAUAAUGUCACAUAGGCUGCCAACUUGGGCGCUAAAAGAACCAGUUGGGCUAGUUCGUUUCAGAAUUUCAAUGUGGAUUCAGGAAUUGUUUUGUAAGAUAUGCGAAAUAGUAGAGGGAUGAAUAGUGUUUCAUUAAUAAAAGUGUCCUGUAAAUUAGAAGGUGUCAUAGAAACUAUAAUCAAUAAAUAACUUUUUUUCCCCACGGGUGGUGUUUCUUGUGGGGAUCAGUGACUGGUUUAGGUUCACCCAAAAUGAGUUCAGACUAAAAUUGGUUUGAGUCAAUGCCGUGUCUCUUUUUUCCAGAAAUCAACUAUUUUAUGCAUUGAAUAAAUCAUACAAAGAAAAUAUGAACGCCCGCAAAACCUAAACCCUGGUUGCUAACUUUCUAUGUUUCAGUUCUAUUCACGCAAGAAUAUUAGUUUAAGUUUGGGAAAAAUGGCAACUUACCUAGUGAUUACUUGGUUUUGGUUUGCGACUAUUUACGCAACCAACCAUGAGUUUGACUUUAACGUCAUGGGUUGAAGCCUCCUACAGGAAGGGAGAAAGCUCCACAGCUAGCUCCAAAAGAGAAUUAUCACAUUGAUAGCUCCAGAGAUUCCCAAGGGGACUGAAUCAAAGACAAGUUCCUCACUUUUUCUUCUUUUGAGGCCAAAUAUGAACCAAGGAUCACACAACCUCAUUCAACUUCAUAAGUUUGAUUUCAUGCAGUUGAACACUGGGUGAAGGCCAUGACAAGAAUUGAUUCAAAAAUUCUAUCACUCUUUUAAGUAAUGGAAGAUUAUUAUCUCUGAUUGGCAUCACAACAGCACAUGCUCCUAGAUCUUUCUAGACACUCCAUGCAAUGAAAGCACAAUGGAUCUUGUAACGAUAGAAACUAAGCCAUGCUACAGUACUAGAUGAUGAGGUAAAACUAGUAGACACGGGUGGCAGCCUAUAUGGGAGGGACACAAGUCUAAUUGAUUUGCAUUUCAGCAUUAUAGAUAGGUAUGUUUUGGAAGAUUUGUUCUGGAAAUACCGCACCAAGUAGGAUUCUUUUUCUCUUUAGUGGGUCCACUUGCAUGCCAAUUAACGAGUUGAAAAGUAUGAGCACCUACCUCGUGCUCGUGGAACCGAAGGUCAGUGAAGUGGGGCUCCUUUUGGCCUCGUGUAAACUUGAUUCAGAAGUGAAGUUAAUAGUCUUCCAUUCAGAUGGAUACAUGGGAAUUUUUCUCUUUUAUUUAUUUAUUUAUUUUUUUUUUGUGUGUGUAUGUCAAAGGAUAAUGAAUGAAGCGCGUUAGCUUGUUUUCUGACUGGAACCGCAGAUGUCCAAAUUGGAGUUCCUUCAUUUCUUACUUAGGAUUGUUACAUGUAUAAACAAGGUAUAAGAAAUAUGCCAACGUGUCUUGAGGAGUUAUUGAUUAGAAAUAACAAGUCACCCGACUGUAGAGUUCCAAGAUUUGAAUCUUCAGACCCUAUAGCAGCCUCUGGGGUACGUGGCAUCCUAUAGCAUAUUAAUGAAGGCUUUUUCGAUUUAGACUUCACAAUACCAAUUAAUAUGUAUGCACAAAAUGGAGAUGACCCCAAAAAAAACAGAAUCGCCAUAGUUUAUGAGGUUAAGGUGAUUCUCCACUUAAUAUCUACAUUAGCUAAUUAUGUAAAUCAAAUGAACUUCUAUUUUUCCUUUUUUUUUUUGGUUUAUGUCAAAUAGUAGCCCAUAAUUAACCCAACCAUUAGCCUGUUUGAAUUGAUUUCACAUGCACAAUGUUGUAGUAGUUCAUAUUUUGAAUUUUAUUUUUACAAAGGUAGUUAAGGAAAAUGAAGUAUAAUAAUUAUAAAAGCAGACUAUAUACACUACAAUAAUUGUUAGAAUGGUAUCUCAAAUUCUAAUUUAAAAUAUUAUUUUUUGUAAAAGAAAUAUUAUAUAGAAUAUUUCCUAAUUUUAUAAAUGAUUAUAAUUAGAUCUUUAUAAAAUAAGGAAAGUUGGUAAGAAUAUCUUUAUAAAUAUUUUAGGUCAUGAGAGAAAGAAAUGGGAUAAAAAUGUGAUGAAGAGGUGAAAUAAGAGAGUUGAUUAGGAUAUAGAUGUGAAGAAGAAAGGGAUUCAAUAUAUAUAUAUCUUUCAAUUACCACAUUAAAACCCUGUGAACCUUUUAUAUGGUUUACUUUAUUUUUAUAUUCCUCCUUUAAUAUAUUUACAUUAAUGCUUCCAUUGGCACAACAAUAACGAAUUACAAAUACAAGCAACAAGUCCCAUGUUUUAUUACCAAAAGCAGGUAAAAUCCACCUAAUAUAUUACAAUAUAUUCAUCCAAUAUUUUAGACCAAUUCUUCACCAUAAAUAUCAUAAUGUGGCUUUUGUUCUUUCUUAAAUUUAAAUUGAAUUGUCUUAUAUCAAUUUGUUUGUGAUUUUUUCAUUAACUUCACUUUCAUUUGGUUAUCUUUGGUUUUUGAAAAGUAUUAAGGAAUUAAUUAACAAAAUAAUGUUAAGAAAAAUAAUUUUCUCUCUUUUGAUUUUGAUUUUGUAGUAGAAAAAUAUAAUUAAAAUUAUUUAAAAAGUAUGUAAUUUUAAAUUAUUUAAUAUUUAGAUAAAAAAAAUAAGUCUAAUGAGUUUAAAAUAACAUAUAAAAAUAAUUUAUUUAUUUUAAAUUUAUUUUUUAUUUUCCAUUAUGUUCUCUUUCUCUUUUACUUUUUCAUAUUUUUUCUUACGAAGAAUCAAACACAACCUCAUAUUAUAUGUCAAGUGUUUGUCUAUAUUUGAGCAAUGUUAGAUACGGCCAUGGAUUCAUCAAACUAAACUGAUUUUAAUAGAUACUUCACAAAUUGAUUUAUACACUAAAUCAUUGGAUAGCAAUGAUGCAUUGGAAUUAAACGUAGGAUGAAGCUCGAAGAACACUGUUUGUGUAACAACAUAUUUAUGAAAUUAUGCAAAGGAUGAGCUUCGGGGUAGUAGUACAAGGUCAUUAAUGGAGAGCCGUGUUAAACCUUGAUUGUGAUUGGAUUCCGUUAUCAGCAACAGCAACCUUGUUUGUAACCUUGAAAGUCAUUCUGUCCACAUCGAAACUCCAAUUUGACGUUUGUAAUUACCAUUCCUGGAGUGUUCCUUGAUUGAAAUUUAAAUAAUAAUUGCGGCCCACAAGGAAUAUUUUCGAUUCUGUGGGAAUUUGACAAGGUUUGUUAGAGAAGACUGGUGACAUGUUGACUUCAAUGGUUCAAAUAGGAGACGUAUGUGGAUUUGGGGGGUUUAAUUGAAACUGAGUCCCUAUGGCUUUUUAAUAUUUGCAUUGAGCAGUCUCCAUGUGACUUCCUAAUUCCCACCAACCCUCCUGUCCAUGCUGUGAAACUAAAUUGUAAUUUAUCAGCCUUUGUCAAUGGUUUCUAAAUUAAAGAUAUAGACCAUGCAUGUACUUUAAUAAAAGCAAAUCUAAAGUGUAGAUAGCAGCAAUGGUGACACCCAAUAUUCUCCAUAAAAUAGAAUUAGAAUAAGCAGUGUUACAUUGUUCAUGAUCACCUACAAGCAUACAAGAACUUCCAUGAAUAACUCAUAGCAAUUGCCAACAGGGCGUCGUAGAGACUCAUACAUAGAACACUAUCCACCCAGAGGAAAGGACAAGACCAGUGCGCUGCAGCUCUUAUUUUUCACAUGUAUACCACCACUCGUAAUAACCAAAUUCACUCAGUUGGGAUAGGUGGGAGAUGGUGGUUUGUGGGGUGGCUUGUGGGGAGGAGUUGGAGGAGGCUUUAUUUUCUGAGGCGGCUUGUAUGAGUGUGCAGGAGGAUGCCCGGGAGUGUGACCAUAAUGUGGUGGCUUCUCUCCCGUAGGUGGUUUGCCAAAUGGGCUUGGUGGCUUCUCUCCCUUAGGAGGUUUACCAAUUGGGGUUGGUGGCUUGUGUUCUGGGAGUGGUUUCUCUCCCUUGGUAGGUUUGCCAAUUGGGGUUGGCGGCUUAUGUUCUGGGAGUGGCUUCUCUCCCUUGGGAGGUUUGCUAAUUGGGGUUGGCGGCUUAUGUUCUGGGGGCGGCUUCUCUCCCUUGGGAGGUUUGCCAAUUGGAGUUGGCGGCUUAUGUUCUGGGAGUGGCUUUUCUCCCUUGGGAGGCUUGCCAAUUGGGGUUGGCGGCUUAUGUUCUGGGGGUGGCUUCUCUCCUUUAGGAGGUUUGCCAAUUGGAGUCGGCGGCUUAUGUUCUGGAAGUGGCUUUUUUCCCUUGGGAGGUUUGCCAAUUGGGGUUGGCGGCUUAUGUUCUGGGGGUGGCUUCUCUCCCUUGGGAGGUUUGCCAAUUGGAGUCGGCGGCUUAUGUUCUGGGAGUGGCUUCUCUCCCUUGGGAGGUUUUGUUGGUGGCUUGUGUUCUGGAGAUGGCUUCUCCCCUGGAGGCUUGUGCUCCGGAGGUGGCUUCUGAAAUGGCGGGGGCUUGGGGUAAUGAGCAAGAGAUGGAGUACUG
RNAcentral lists this long non-coding RNA (80349 nucleotides) under Vitis vinifera (wine grape). RNAcentral's name for it is "long non-coding RNA (VVIN_LNC001392)". The record is from RNAcentral. Lineage: Eukaryota; Viridiplantae; Streptophyta; Magnoliopsida; Vitales; Vitaceae.